GCUUUAUUUUCUUCUCUCUCAUCACAUUCCUUGCACUGUAUAUUUCUGGUUCCUGUCUCUCUAUAGCUUCUAGGGUUUUCCUUUUUGACAGUAUAAAUUCAAGAAACUUUUGUAUACCAAUGGCUGAAGGAUCCUUAAAAUGAUCAAGGGAAAAACCAGUAACAGAUUUCAGAUGGAAAAGUUCUUGAUUAUUAGAAGUGUCUUUUCUUUUGAGUAAAGAAACCCUUCUUUGUACCUCACACCCACCCCGCCCCACCCCCAGGAAAAAGAGAGAUUCUUUAGCCGUUUGAUUUUGCUUGAAGAUAGAUCAAAAAGGUAUGUUGAUUAUUCAGAACUUUUCCUUAAAGAAAAGGAUUCAUUUGCUUCUGUUUUGCAGGACAAUUUAGAUGAUGAGGUAAUUUAACGUGGUAUCAAGGUAGAUCGUGGUCAUGAGUUUAACUUUCAAGUGUGAAAAAACCAUUCUAGAUUUGAACCAUUGAAAAAAAAAAAAUUCAAAUAAAGAAAUUUGUUCUUCCUCUCUAAUGGUUUAAGCUUUUAAAUUAGAUGGUACAGCACCAUAUUUAGAAUACUGCAAAACAAGUCUCGAUCACUACUAUCCAUUUACGAAAAUUAUUGUUCGUGGAUCUUGGCUUUGAGAAAAUUGGGCAGUACGAAAAAUCCUGCUCAAUUUCAAACUUCUAUUCUUGUUCUUCUUGUCCAGGAAGGCCUUCAAGAAUAAUAUGAUGAAAUNNNNNNNNNNNNNNNNNNNNNNNNNNNNNNNNNNNNNNNNNNNNNNNNNNNNNNNNNNNNNNNNNNNNNNNNNNNNNNNNNNNNNNNNNNNNNNNNNNNNNNNNNNNNNNNNNNNNNNNNNNNNNNNNNNNNNNNNNNNNNNNNNNNNNNNNNNNNNNNNNNNNNNNNNNNNNNNNNNNNNNNNNNNNNNNNNNNNNNNNNNNNNNNNNNNNNNNNNNNNNNNNNNNNNNNNNNNNNNNNNNNNNNNNNNNNNNNNNNNNNNNNNNNNNNNNNNNNNNNNNNNNNNNNNNNNNNNNNNNNNNNNNNNNNNNNNNNNNNNNNNNNNNNNNNNNNNNNNNNNNNNNNNNNNNNNNNNNNNNNNNNNNNNNNNNNNNNNNNNNNNNNNNNNNNNNNNNNNNNNNNNNNNNNNNNNNNNNNNNNNNNNNNNNNNNNNNNNNNNNNNNNNNNNNNNNNNNNNNNNNNNNNNNNNNNNNNNNNNNNNNNNNNNNNNNNNNNNNNNNNNNNNNNNNNNNNNNNNNNNNNNNNNNNNNNNNNNNNNNNNNNNNNNNNNNNNNNNNNNNNNNNNNNNNNNNNNNNNNNNNNNNNNNNNNNNNNNNNNNNNNNNNNNNNNNNNNNNNNNNNNNNNNNNNNNNNNNNNNNNNNNNNNNNNNNNNNNNNNNNNNNNNNNNNNNNNNNNNNNNNNNNNNNNNNNNNNNNNNNNNNNNNNNNNNNNNNNNNNNNNNNNNNNNNNNNNNNNNNNNNNNNNNNNNNNNNNNNNNNNNNNNNNNNNNNNNNNNNNNNNNNNNNNNNNNNNNNNNNNNNNNNNNNNNNNNNNNNNNNNNNNNNNNNNNNNNNNNNNNNNNNNNNNNNNNNNNNNNNNNNNNNNNNNNNNNNNNNNNNNNNNNNNNNNNNNNNNNNNNNNNNNNNNNNNNNNNNNNNNNNNNNNNNNNNNNNNNNNNNNNNNNNNNNNNNNNNNNNNNNNNNNNNNNNNNNNNNNNNNNNNNNNNNNNNNNNNNNNNNNNNNNNNNNNNNNNNNNNNNNNNNNNNNNNNNNNNNNNNNNNNNNNNNNNNNNNNNNNNNNNNNNNNNNNNNNNNNNNNNNNNNNNNNNNNNNNNNNNNNNNNNNNNNNNNNNNNNNNNNNNNNNNNNNNNNNNNNNNNNNNNNNNNNNNNNNNNNNNNNNNNNNNNNNNNNNNNNNNNNNNNNNNNNNNNNNNNNNNNNNNNNNNNNNNNNNNNNNNNNNNNNNNNNNNNNNNNNNNNNNNNNNNNNNNNNNNNNNNNNNNNNNNNNNNNNNNNNNNNNNNNNNNNNNNNNNNNNNNNNNNNNNNNNNNNNNNNNNNNNNNNNNNNNNNNNNNNNNNNNNNNNNNNNNNNNNNNNNNNNNNNNNNNNNNNNNNNNNNNNNNNNNNNNNNNNNNNNNNNNNNNNNNNNNNNNNNNNNNNNNNNNNNNNNNNNNNNNNNNNNNNNNNNNNNNNNNNNNNNNNNNNNNNNNNNNNNNNNNNNNNNNNNNNNNNNNNNNNNNNNNNNNNNNNNNNNNNNNNNNNNNNNNNNNNNNNNNNNNNNNNNNNNNNNNNNNNNNNNNNNNNNNNNNNNNNNNNNNNNNNNNNNNNNNNNNNNNNNNNNNNNNNNNNNNNNNNNNNNNNNNNNNNNNNNNNNNNNNNNNNNNNNNNNNNNNNNNNNNNNNNNNNNNNNNNNNNNNNNNNNNNNNNNNNNNNNNNNNNNNNNNNNNNNNNNNNNNNNNNNNNNNNNNNNNNNNNNNNNNNNNNNNNNNNNNNNNNNNNNNNNNNNNNNNNNNNNNNNNNNNNNNNNNNNNNNNNNNNNNNNNNNNNNNNNNNNNNNNNNNNNNNNNNNNNNNNNNNNNNNNNNNNNNNNNNNNNNNNNNNNNNNNNNNNNNNNNNNNNNNNNNNNNNNNNNNNNNNNNNNNNNNNNNNNNNNNNNNNNUAUAUAUAUCUAUAUAUAUAUAUAUAUAUAUAUCCCAGCCAUUUUUGGUGUGUGUGUGUUGUAGCAAUGGAGAGGAGAGUUGAAAGAAGAGAGGCAACCGAGAGAGAGGGAAGCUAUGUGAGGUUGUGAGUGAGAUUCAACCAUUUUGAUAUCUUCUUCUUCCUCUCCAUACUUUUGUGGAUAGCUAACACCGCCACCCUUCUUCUUUGUGGGGUUUGAGAGAGUUUGGACAGUCCAAAGUGAAAGCGAAAGUCUCGAGUUGAGCCAAGGUAAAUCGAUGUUCGUUUGAUUGUUUUCUAUGCCCGGAAUCAAGAUUUAUGAAAUAAGUCCAACAACCAAGUCCAUGAGCUACACCUGACCCAAUUGUAUUCCUUCUUGAUGGCUUGAAUCUUGGCCCCUUUACUUCUUUAAUGGCCCAACUUAAAGUCUAACCCUAGAGUAUAUAUAUGGAUAUAACCCUAGCCUCUUUAAUAUAAUGUUUUGUAAGACUUUGAGUGAGAAAAAGGAGAAUUCCGGCUGCCCUCUUGGUGAGUGAAAAAAUAACCCCCAGAAGUGUCCAAAACACCUGUUUACUUUGUGUAAUUGGUGGUUCCUUCAUAGUAUACCUUUGUGGUGUCUUCUCCUAGCCUUUGCAACCACAAAUCAUCAUCUUUUUUUGUCCUACAUGGGUAAGAUUGUAUAGCAACGGAGGUGAAUCAAUUUGGUUGUGGUUUAGAGCCGAUUGGACUGGUUGUUGGUUGACAAAUGUGCGUUGGACUAAGCCUGAAAAUCACCGAUUUGAAGAUCGUUCAAGAGAGCUUCCACAACAAUUGGUAUCAGAGCUUCAAGGUGAAGGUUUUAGCUCGUGAAAUAUACUAGAAAUCAUCUAGAAGAUCGGUAGAAACGUAGCAGAAAUCAGAUCGAAAAACUGUCCAGAAAAUUGUUAAAAAUCAGUCCACGUUUUGGUAUUUUCUGAUCAAUCCAGAAGGAGUUUGAGGAAACGAAGACCAUUGGUGUAACAUGCAGGUGGUGGCGAUCAAGGCAGUCAGGCGCAUGUGGACGUCUGCGACGCAUGGCGGAGGCACGUAGAGGCCACACGUAGAGACUCGAUCGGCGCAUGCCGAUGCGUGGAGCAUUUUCUGUCGACGGUCCCUUCAGACAGUUUUUUCCUCUCAUUAUUUCUGAUAUUUUGCUUGUUGAAAUUUUUCUAUUUCAGGGUACGCAGAAGAAUCUGGAUAGUGUUGUUCUUCGGGCGUUCGGGGCUCGAUCGUGAUUUCUUGAUUGCUGCUGUUUCUAGAGACUUUAGGAUGAAUAGUGGUGAUCCUAAAGUGUUAAAUUUACGUGUCUCAUAAUUUACGGACUCAAAUUGAUCCGCUCUGGUAUAUUGGCUUAUCUUAGUUUUAAUUUCAGUACUUGCAGAUCAUUGUGUGGGGUGAUCAAUAGGAUUGGGGGUUGUCAUUGCUUGGUAACCAUUGCUUGUGCUAGAAAAUUUAGAAAUUAUUUGCUCUAUUUUUUGAAGUGUUGAGUUUUGAUUGCAAGUUGGUAGUUGAUUUUGUGCUUUACCUGUCAUAUACUCAUUGUGUGAGACUUGUUACGUGGAAAUUCGAACUUUUGUUUACAUACCUUCGUGUUGCAUUGAUUUUCCUGUUAGAACACCUGGACUUGACCCGUUCGAACAUUCCCUUGAUCUGAGAUCGUGAAUCUUACGAAACCCUGAAAAUCUAGAACGGUGUAUAUUGCGGCUGUAGGAUAACUUUGUGUGACCUAUCUGUGCUUUUGGUUGUUCUAGUUUUUUAGAAAUAUCUUCACAUUUUGAAGUUGGAAUUUUUAGUGGGAAACGGGAUUUUUCAAUUUUGUAACAAAAGAUGAAGGGUAUUUUGGUCCAACAAAAAGUUUCAAAGGCUAUAGAUGGCAAAUUUUCUGCAAAUUUAACAAAAGUAUAAAAAGAAGAAUAUGAUGAACUUGUAUACACUUCAAUUAUUUUACACCUGUCUGAUACUGUUUUGAGAAAAGUUGGAAAACUGAAUUCUACAAAACAAUUUUGGGAAAAAUUGGAGGACUUAUAUUUGCUUAAAUCAACUCCUAAUAAAUUGUACUUGCUUGAACGAUUUUUCAGGCUUAAAAUGAAUCCUUCAAAAGAUCUUGAUGACAAUCUGGAUGUUUUUAACAAGUUAGUUCAAGACAUCAUUAAUUGUGAUGAAGAGAUAUUUGAAACGUAUAAGGCUAUUAUCCUGCUUAAUUUCAUGUCUGAUUCAUAUAAGGAAGUUAAGAAUGCAAUUAAGUACGGUAGGGAUACCUUAACAUCCGAGAUUGUCAUAGACUCACUUAAGAGUAAGGAGAUGAAAAUUAAGGCUGAAAAAGAGGAUAAGUGGAGUGGCGAGUUACAUAUGAUGAGGAAAAUAAUGAAGUUUUAAGUAGAUGAAUUUGGGUAGAACUCAAGAUGGUAGUGUUUCGAGUAGUGACUCGAGUGAUGAGGGUAGUAAGAAGAAGGGCAAGGGAUGAGACAAGUCUAGUGGUAGAAGGUGUUACAGUUGUGGUAAGUCUGGACACUUUAUUAGGGACUGUCCCAAAAAGAUAGAUAAGUUGAAGGGUAAGAUGAAAGAUGAGACGAAUUUGGUUGAGGGGUCGAGUUAUGACCCCAGUGAGGUUUAUUAAGUGUAAACCUAGUCACUGAAUAUGCAUCUAUGUGUGAUCAUUUUCUGCAUGUGUGUAAUUGUCUAAAUUUUGUUAAGUGAUUAUUUGCUACAUCUCAAUGUGUUUGAUAUGUGCAUUUGCAUAAAUUUGAGACAUUAGGAUUACUUAGUGUAAUUGCUUGCAUGCAUAGUGGGUUAGAAUGCAUUAGCCCGUUGUGUCUUUUGGUAAGGUGGAGAGUAUAGAUGCCUAGAGGUACAUGGUGGUUUGUACCGGAGAUGUGGAGUGUGACAUUUGGAUCACGAGUAGAGAUGUGAUCAAAUGUCUAGAAUUCUUUAUCUGGAAAGAGACCUUGAUCAGGUGGAGUAUGAGAGAGGCACUUCUAUCACUUCCAUUAGGUAGAGACCCAUUAUCCACGUAGGUUGGGAGAAGUGAUGUGGAGAUAGAGGAUUAUCCCGUGAACUUAGGAUCUAUUGUAUAGACAUGAGUUGAGUGAUCUGUCUAGUGAGCUUGAUGGGCGAUGAGAGGAGAUAUGUGUUCUCGAGGUGUGAGCAACACGGAAUGGGAUAGGAUAAGUGUGAUGAGAUCUUUUCUUAGGGUCAUUUAUGCAUGUGUUGCAUAUGUGGUUGACCGUGGUUUGAUUGACUUGGUGUUAAUCUAUGGUUCUAUUUGAACAUGUUUUUGAAAAUAUCUCUGUGUGUUAUCCUAUAGUAUAUCGUCAUCGCAUGUGUAUUUGCUCUUAAUUGUUUAGUAUUAAAUAUUUGCUUCUACUUGAGCGUUUUUUACCUUAGCCCCAGUAAGUAUAUGGAGCAGGUAUGGUAUGUGAUUCAAGUUGAAAACACGAGGUAAGGUCUGUGAUCCAAUUUUAUUGGCUACCUUGAGUAUGCAAGUGCUAACUGUGUGUUUUGAUUGCUUGUAGAUUUAUUGGGCAUCAAUGUCGAGAUUUGUUGGAUUUUUGAUACCCAAUAAAUCCCGAACUACAAUGUUAGCGUGGGUUAAUAUUAUUUCAUAUGCAUAGGCCGAUGAAUGAAAUAAGUCCAACAAUCAAGUUCAUGAGCUACACCCGACCCAAUUGUAUUCCUUCUGGAUGGCUUGAAUCUUGGCCCGUUUACCUCUUUAAUGGCCCAAACUAAAGCCUAACCCUAGAGUAUAUUUAUGGAUAUAACCCUAGCCUCUUUCAUAUGAUGUUUUGUGAGACUUUGCGUGAGAAAAAGGAGAAUCCCGGUUGCCCUCUUGGUGAGUGAAAAAAUAGCCCCUAAAAGUGUCCAAAACACUUGUUUACUUUGUGUAAUUGGUGGUUCUUUCAUAGUAUACCUUUGUGGUGUCUUCUCUUAGCUUUUGUAGCCACAAAUCAUCAUCCUUUCUUGUCUUACGUGGGUAAGAUUGUAUAGAAACCGAGUUGAAUCAAUUUGGUUGUGGUUUGGAGGCGAUUGGACUGGUUGUUGGUUGAAAAAGGUACGUUGGACUGAGCCCGAAAAUCACCGAUUUGAAGAUCAUUUAAGAGAGCUUCCGCAACAAUGACCAAUCUAGUGAGCAUUGAUGCAAUGAGGGGAGAGAUGUGUUCUCUAUAUAUGAGCUACACGGAAUGGGAUAGGGUAACUAUGGUGAGAUAUUUUCUUGGGAUCAUUUUUGCAUUGGUUACAUAUGUUGACUAUUUAUUCGAUUAAUUUGGUGUUAAUUUUUUAUUGUGUUGAACAUGUUGAAAAGAUCUGUGUAUUUCCAUAUUGUAUGUUUUCAUCACAUGAGUAUAACUAUGUAUUUUAUGUACUCUUGAUUGUCUCACUAUGUAUUUUUUAUUGUACUAGUUUACCUUAUCUCUCUGUAAGUAAACUUAGCAGAUAUGGUAUAUGUUUCGGGGUCUAAGACAUUGGCAAGGUAUGUGACUUCCAAUUUAUUGUUGAUACCUUGAUUAGGCAAGUAUUAACUUGGUUUUUUCUGGUUGCAGUUUUAUUAGGUAUUAAGGUGGAGAUUUGUUAGGUUUUUUUUUUUAUACCCAAUAAAUCUCGUGGUAAUGAUGUUUAAUGGUUAAUUUCAUAGGCUUCAACCGAGAAUUGAAAACAUGAAAUCAACACAGCAAUUGAAAAGAGAGCAAUUUCUUUAUUCUCUGUAAACUUGCAAAUUGUGUCUUUUUUCUUCUCCUUUCUUUGUGAGUGUGCAACCAUCAUCUUAUUCUCUUUGUGAGAUAGAAUCCUUUGUGGAUUAUUCAUAAACUUGGGCAACCUUAGAGUAUGAUUGAGGGCUUGAGCAAUUGAUCCUAGGUACAUUAUUAAAGAUCUUGGUGAGUACUUCCAUCACAAAUAUUCUUAGGAGAGGACAUCGGUGUGGUAUCGGCUGAAAAACCUCUGACAGUAAUGUCAUUGAUACUCUUCAUAAUUAUGGAAAGAAAGCUAAAUGGAAAAUGAGUUCCGAAUUUUUAAUUCAAAGUACCUUGUCAUCAGACCGUUUGUUCAACUAAUUACCAGUUCAUUAAAUUCAAGUAUCUUGUCAUAGAAAAUGUUUAUUUUGUUUAUAAAUAUGUAACCAUUCAGGUUGUUUAAAACUUUUGAACUAAUUGGUCGAGUGUAGAUAUUUUUGGGCUCGGACUAUGACAAGAGGGAAAUGAUCGAAUUUCAAGAAGUUAGUAUUAAUUUUUGAAAUGGAAGUGAAAGAAAUGUAAUUUUGUGUAACAUUGAAAGGUAAAUUUAUGAAAUGAAAAUGUUUGCAAUUGAGUAUUUGUUUGUUGGUAUAUUUAACUUUUUUAUUACUUUUAAUUCACAAUAACAAUAUGUUAAUAUAUAUAAUUAGUGGAAUUUAAAAAAGAAAUUGUAAUCCAACUUUCUGAAGAAUCUAUUUUUGUUGGAAAUUUGGAAAUUGAGAACAGAUGUAGUGUAGCAACAAAAUAUACAUUCCUAUUUAGGAAUGAGUAAUUUUGAUAAGUGUGUUUUUACAAACUUAUUUUGUUCACAAACAUGACUUAAUUAUGAACUAAGAGUUUGAAUUUUGGCUUAAUUCUAUGUAAUUAUGUUUUGUAGGAUUAUAUUAAUGAAUGUGGUGGAAUUCAAGAGAAAAGAAACAAAAAAGAGCCAAAAAGGAAGAAAAUCCAAAGUAUGAGGACUAAACUGUAACAUUUCAACAGUUGAUUCCGAUCACAAAAUGAAGAUUAAAGAUAUUGCGGGUUCAAUUGGAUGCAAAUGUAAGUCAAAAAGUUGAAAUUGCAAGAAAAAGGGCUUGAAAGAAUCAAAACUCGACUUCGGGGGCUAAAAUGCAACAUAUGGAAGAAAUUUUGUAUGGACGACAGACCAGUUAUAAAAAUUGGGCGAUUGCCCCCAUAUGUUUUUCUUAUUACCGAGGAGAAAAUGUUGACCUGGGCGACAGCCCGGGUUUUGCCCGAGCAACAGCCCAGGCCAAUCGCAGCGAACUUUUUUGAUUAAAACUCUUAUGGAAACAAAUCUUGGGAGUCUUUUAAAGCCCUUGGGACAUCCAAAAACAGACACCACGUAUUAUAAAUUUUUUUGAGAGGAUUUGAAGAGAAAAAAGAAGGCAAGAACGAGAUGAUUCAUUUCAAGAUUCAAGAUUUCAAAUCAAAGGGCAUUUGGGUGAUGCCUUUUCUUGAUUCUUGUUGUUGUGUUCUUCUUCCCAUCAUGUUAGGCUAGAAAAAUCUAUACCAGGAGAUCGAUGAACCUUGUAUUGUGAUACUAUAUUCUUUGUUCUGUAUUUUGACACAAAACACGUAUUGAUUGUUUUGAAUGAUUUAUAUGCAUUUAAUUGCUUCCAUGAUUAUGGGCCCAUAAUUGUGUGAGUUUUGAUGGUUUGUUUCAUCUAUUCGAAAGAAGAUGAAUAAAUUCAACAAGGUAUAAAUCAUCGUAGGAUCUGAUAGGAGAUAGAAAUAUACUCCUAUGCUUUGCGUGAAUCUCUAAGUACUUACAAAACUACAUACAUUCUCAUAUAUUUGCAUCCGUCAUAGAGAUAUAGGCUGGUAGUGUAUGACAAUAGGUUCAAUUCAUCUCGAGAGAGUGUGUUGGAUAGAUUUAGGAGUAUUGAUUCUUCAAAAUGUCAUCGUGUUGUCAAAGUGUGGAAUUAAGCUUAAAUUGAGCAUUGCUUGGGGAUUCGUGAUCCUAUUGUGCUUUUAUAUUCAUUGAGUACAUCAACUUGCAUUCAACACAUUCACUUUGCAUUCUAGUUCAUUCAAAUCAUACAUAUUUGCAUAUUUAGUCCAAGUAAGGUUAAUUUAAGUCACUACAAUUCACGUUUGACAAAUCAGUUUCGGUUAAGGCCAAGUUAGGUAAAAUUAAACUAAUCAAUCUCCGUGGGACAAUAUUCGGACUCAAUUGAUCCACUUUAUUACUUGUUAACGAACCGUACACUUGCGGUGAUUUAAAUCAAAAGAAAAUAUUUCUUGAACAAAUUUCAUAGGAAAAAUAUUAAUAUUUGGCAACGGAACCAAAAAUGGAACAAUUAGUAGCUAUAUAACAACAAAUAACCAGUUAGUAAUUUUCAUUACUAAAACAACUUCGAAAAUGCGCAGGUAAUCACCAAAAAAAUAGUGACAACCAACAUUGUUUCUAAUUACAUACAAAAAUAGUUGUUGGUAAACACCAAUAGUUUUUUUUUGUCACUAAUUGACCAAAAGCCUAAGAUAUCCAUUAGUAAAUUAGAGACGAAGGUUUUACUAUCCCAUAUGUCCAUGGAUGGAUUUCGUCAUAAAGGUUGUUAAUUGCAUAAUCAAGGCAUCAUCGAUAGAAAAUAUUGUCGUUGAUGUCACGUUUUUAGUAAUGCCAUAUUAUUUAUUGUUAAAUAGUUUAAAGUUACAUAAAUAUAAUAAUCAAUUUUCUAGAAAACUCACCUAGGCUUCCCUAUGCGCAAAACAUGAACUUUUCGCCUAGCCAUGCUAUCUCUUUUUUACGUUUAAGCCCGUAUAGACUCGUAAAAACUAAAUUUGAUUCUGAAAUCUAACUACACUUUAUGUUUUUUAUAACACUAUAUAAAAAUGACCAUCCCAAAUAAUUAAAAGGUCCUACACAAUUAUUGAUCUCAACCCACUCCACAAAUCCUAUAAUUAUAUACACUUCUACAUAUAUAUCAUGAGUCAUGACCACAUCAAAUUUAUUUAGAUGUCCUAUAAAUAUUGGCCCUAGCUCACUCCCAAUAAUUACAAGAUUUCAUCCACAAGUGCAUUUUUCUAGAAUAGGAAAAUGAGAAGAUAGAUGAAUGUCUAUAAUGGUAAAACAUGUUUUAAGUUCACAUUGCAAUGGGCAAUUUCCUAAGUCAAAAUCAAAUCCUAGUUGAAUUGUAUUAGAUAUUUAUCGAGUUAUAAUCAAAGUCAAAAUAGUUAAGGAUUGAUAGUAUAGGUCUUGAAGGAGCUCAAGAUGUCAAAGAAGCCCAAAGAGAUCAAAUAUGAUCAAGAAAAUAUAAUUAGAAGUCUAAAGGUAUCAAAGAGCCACACAACUUACCCUCCAAAUUCUUAGUCACGACUUGCAAUGCUUUUUUUCACACAAGAACCAUUCAAAUUUUAGAAUGUUAAUCACUUCAAUUCGAUAUCAGGAAGGAAAGUUAUAAUCAAAUUACUGAUGACUGCUCAGCCGUCGCACACUUGUCACUAGCCUAGCGCUCGAGCGACGAGUCGACGUCUCGAAUUCUGUUUUGCUUCAAAUAAUGAUUUUUCACUUUCUUUUCAUUCCAAAAACUUUCUCUUAUAUAUAUCCUUUCCUACGAACGUCUCAAAGUGUGUUGAAUCAUAAUUACUUUAUAGAGAUCAUUCCUUUGAAAAUCCAAUUCACUUUCAUUGGUUUUAAGAGUCAACCACCAUAUUAUUUGAUUCAUAGAUUCAUCCAAACUUAGAUUUGUUGAUCGGAUUAUAAACUUUCAUAUAAAACCACAGAUCAAAACACAUAAAAUCAUUGAUCAAACAAAAAACCUACCUUCAUCAAUUAGCCUUCAGAGUUACUGGAGUUUUGGGAAGAGGCACUAGCAGCUUUGACGCUAGGGAACGAAGUUCCAUUAGAAGAACGAGGUUCACUCUUGGAGAUCCACGGAGGAUAAAUGAUACCAGGGUCAGGAGUUGGUGCGAGGAGUACAUAGUCCAAGAGAGGCAAGGUACUUAAAGGAAGAAGGUCAAGGGGAACUAAGAGUUAGUCAAUUCUGGACCAUACUGUAAGUCUCAUUGUUUAAUGUGGAUUGUUGAUUGUAAAGUGUCUGAAGUUUUUACCCGGUUGGGGUUUUUCUAUGAUAAUCUUUGGUGUUCCUUACUAUUUUAAUUAUUGAUUGUGACAUUCAAACCAUAAGAUAAUUGAACUUGGUUGACUAAUCACCUAGAAAUGAUUAAAAGUGUUUAGUUGGCUUUCAACAGUGUAAUUAUGGACGUUGAGUCUAAAUAUUUGGAUAAUUACAACUUUCAACAUGUAUGUGCACUACUGUUGGGAGAGAAAUAAAGUUGAGAUUCGGGAAAUGAGUGGGGGUGGCGUGGGUGGGGUGGGAAAAAGGAACAUACUUCGGCAAGUAUAAGCAAAGAGGAUGUAGAUGUUGGAAAAAAUGAGUAAUAGUUCACUUUUGGCAAAAUUUUCGGUGGGACCCGUUGGUCCAAUUUAGAAGAUCAAAGUUGAUCCGUGUUCUCCUCCGUGAGAGCGUCAAAAUCAUAUAUUUAUUUGCCAAAAAUGAAGCUUGUGUGAAUGAGAAAUUGGAACUCAAAGAUGACCAUUGGAAUAUGGUUAUGUGGAAAAAAAUUGAAGUUAGUCCCACAUAGGAAAAAUAUGAAAGCAAGAACCACUUUAUAUAAAAUUACACUUUGGAAUGGUAUAAUCAUGGGUAACAUAGAGGUUCUCUCCACGUGAGCAGAAAGGGAGGGUGCAAAUCUCGGACAGAAAUUACCUUCGAACAUUGAACUUGUGUGGGAGCACGACCUGCGUACAUGAAUGUCGGACUGAAUGGAGCAAAAAUUGGCCCUUUUGAAGAGCCCACAUUUUGAAAAAAAAUUUCUUACUUUCUCCACUGACUUUUGAGUUUCUGAAACUUCCACAACUCCCAGAAAUUGAAGUGACUCCAAUGUUAAUUGCCAUAGAGUUAAUGGCAGAUUUAUGCUAUAAUAAAUCUUAAGUUUUCCAACAAUUAAACAUAUGGAAAAAAAAACACACGAAAUUCUCUAUGUACGAAAAAAUUCUCAAAUUCUGUCGUCGUCUUCUUUUUGUCUAGUGAAGUCGUCGUGGUGAUGAUAUUGUUCAGACGCUAACGCGGUUCGUCGAAGUAGUUUCUUUAGUGUUCAGAUUCUACUUGUUUUAUCGUUCUAUCCUAAGAAACAGACGCUCAGACUAGACCUUAAACACUUACGGUAAGGGAGCGAAUCUGUUUUAAGGAAAUUGUGAUUGCACAGGCCUCGAGUUAAAAGUCUAUUUUCAUAUUUAUAUGCUUUCCAGUUUAAAUCUCUAUGCAUUUAUUUAUUUACAUAUUUACAUGCUUUCCAGAUUUAUUUAACUUUCAGUUUAAAUCUCUAUUUUUUGAAAUUUAUAUUACGUUCAUGUUUCGGCAAAUAAUAUAAUUGUUGUAUUUAUUCAAGUAGUUUAAUUCUUUUUAAUUCUCACAAUUUAGAUAAUAUUUUGUAUAUACGAACCGAGAUAUGAAACCUUGUUUAUGGAAAUUCAAAUUUUGUGUUAUUUAAAUUAUUUUAUGAAAACAAACAGUUUGUCCAAAAUCUAUGUUGUAACUUAUCAUAAAGUUUUUGCAAAUUAUAUUGUUAUGUCAUAGCCAAAUACGGUAAGCUGCUUGACAUAUAUGGUAAGCUUCCAAAUACGGUGAGAUGCUUGGCAUAUAUGAUAAGCUACCAAGUACGGUAAGCUACCUGGCAUAUACGAUAAGCUGCAAUAUACGGUGAAUUGAACUGUCAAAUACGGUAAGCAAUUGUCAAAUAUGGUAAGUGUGAAUCCAGUGUCUAAAUCACAUAUACGGUAACAACUGGCCAUACCGUUAAUGUUCCGGUUAAUCAUGGAGAAAAAUCGAAGAAAUUCAAUGGCUUGAAUUUCAAAAGUUGGCAGCAGAAAAUAUUAUUUUAUUUGACCACUUUGAAUCUUGCAAGAUUCUUGACUGAAACUGCUCCAAAACUCAAUGAGGGGUGAGGGAGAUGUUCAAGCCAUCAGUGCACUUGAUGCUUGGAACCAAUCGGAUUUUCUGUACCGAAACUAUAUUAUGAACAGCUUAGCAAACACACUAUACAAUGUGUAUAGUACUAUGAAAACUGCUAAGGAACUGUGUGAGCUUUGGACAGAAAAUAUAAAACUAAGGAUGUGGGGCUAAAAAGUUCAUUGUCGGCAGAUUCCUAGACUAUAAAAUGGUGGAUUCCAAAAUAGUUAUCAGUCAAGUUCAAGAACUCCAAGUGAUUCUUUAUGAAAUUCAUGUCGAAGGGAUGAUUUUGAGUGAAACUUUUCAAGUGACUGCAAUUAUUGAAAAAUUUCCCCCCGCACGAAAAGAUUUCAAGAAUUAUUUGAAACACAAGCGAAAGGAGAUGAACGUCGAAAAACUAAUUGUUAGACUUCGAAUUGAAGAAGAUAACAAGAGUUCCGAAAAUAAGUGGUUUAAUCUUGGUACUGCUAAAGCUAAUAUUGUGGAGUAUGGUCAAAGUAGUAAGAACUAUAAAAAUAAGUCUGGACCAUCCGGUUGCAAAAGAACCAAGCAAGGACCGAAAUGUGAAAUUUGUAAGAAGAAAUUUAAAGAAAAAUGUUUCAAUUGUGACAAAGUGGGCCACAAAUUUUUGGAAUACAGAUUGUCAAAGAAGAAGAAAGAAGCAAAUGUAGUUGACUACAUGGCACAAGAUGUGUCGGAGCUGAAUCUCUCAGCUAUCAUUUCUGAAAUGAACAUGGUGGGUUCAAACUCUAAGGAGUGGUGGAUUGACACCGGUGCUACGAGACAUGUGUGCUCUGAUAAGGAGUUGUUUGCUGCGUUUGAAGCAAUUGAGAAUGGGGAUAAGUUGUUUAUGGCAAAUUGAGUAACUUCUGAAUCAAAGGUCAAGGAAAGGUGGUUCUGAAAGUGACCUCGGGAAAAAAAGUGACUCUCAACAAUGUGCUAUAUAUGCCAAAAAUUCGCAAGAACUUAGUAUCCGGGUCGCUUUUGAAUAAACAUGACUUUCGCAUUGUAUUUGAGUCAGACAAAGAUAUUUUGUCAAAAAGUGGAAUGUUUGUCGAAAAAGGAUAUGUUUCCAAUAGUAUGUUUAAACUAAAUGUAAUGAUUAUUAAAUCGAAAAUGAAUAAAGCAAAUUCUUUUGCUUAUUUUCUUGAGUCUUCCGAUUUAUGACAUGGUAGACUAUGACAUAUUAACUAUGAUACUUUACAAAGACUAGUUAACUUGAAUUGCAUACCCGAGUUCCACAUUGAUUCAAAACAUAAGUAUGAAACUUGUGUUGAGACAAAAUUGACAAGGUCAUCAUUUAAAUCGAUUGAACGGAACACAAAACCACUUGAUUUAAUUCACAGCGACGUAUGUGAUUUAAAACUUGUACAAACAAGAGGUAGCAAAAAGUAUUUCAUUACUUUUGUGGACGAUAGCAGCAAAUACUAUUAUGUGUAUUUGCUAAAAAGUAUAGAUGAGGUUAUAGAGAAAUUUAUUCUCUAUAAGAGUGAAGUUGAAACUCAACUUAAUAAGAAAAUUAAGGUGUUAAGAAGCGAUCGAGGUGGUGAGUAUGAAGCAUCGUUUGCGGAAUUUUGUGCACAACACGGAAUCAUACAUGAAACCACCACAACAAAACGAUGUUGCUGAAUGGAAAAAUAGUACUUUAAAGGAAAUGAUGAAUGCAAUGCUAGUAAGUUCUAGAUUACAUCAAAACAUGUGGGGGAAAGCUGUGUUAUCAGCAAAUUACCUUUUAAUUAAGGUGCCCCAAAAUAAAAUGGAAAAGACCCCUUAUGAGUUAUGGAAAGGAAGAAAGUCUUCCUAUAAAUAAUUACAAGUGUAGGGUUGUCUUGCUAAAGUGAUCGUUCCAACACCAAAGAAGGUAAGGAUAGAGCCAAAGACACCAGUAGAUUGCAUCUUCAUUGGGUAUGCACAUAAUGAUAGUGUUUACUGAUUUCUUAUGUAUGAUUCUAAAAUCCCAGACAUACACAAAAACACGAUAUUAGAAUCAGGAAAUGCUUCAUUCUUUGAACAUAUAUUUUCAUACAAGUCCAAAGAGGAAGCAAGCUCCUCCAAACGAACAUAUGAAACUAUGACUGAAAAUAGUCAUGACGAAGAAAUAGAAGAUGAGAUUGAGGUUAGACGUAGCAAUCGGGAAAGGACAGAAAAAUCGUAUGGUCAUGAUUUCCUGAUCUAUAUGCUAGAAAGUGAACCUCAAAGUUAUCAAGGUACUGUGAAUUCCUCGAAAGGACCUCAAUGAACGGAGGCCAUUAAAAGUGAGAUAGAUUUCAUAUUGCAAAAUCAUACAUAGGAGUUAGUAGAUCUUCCUCCAGGAAGCAAAUCACUAGGCUAUAAAUGGAUUUUCAAAAGGAAAAUGAGAGCAUAUGGAACUAUCGAAAAGUAUAAGGCAAAAUUAUUAAUAAAAGAUUACAAACAAAUAGAAGGCCUUGAUUACUUUGAUAUGUAUUCUCCAGUAACGAGAAUAACAUCUAUUAUGUUGAUACUUGCGAUUGUCGCUUUGCAAAAUCUUGAAGUACAUCAAAUGGAUGUUAAAAUUGCCUUUCUAAAUAGGGAUUUAGAAGAAGAAAUAUAUAUGGAACAACUCGAGAGGUUUUCGUCACCAGGGCAGGAAAAGAAAGUUUGUAAAUUAGUGAAAUCACUAUAUGGCUUGAAACAAGCAUCCAAAUAAUGGCAUGAAAAUUUUGAUAAUGUCAUGAUAGAGAGUGGAUUUAAAAUCAAUGAGUGUGACAAAUGUGUUUACGUCAAAGACACUAAAGAUAGUUAUGUCAUUUUAUAUCUUUACGUUGACGACAUGUUUAUUGUUGGNCUGCUGUCAUUGAAAGAUACAGUGAUGCUAAUUGGAUAUCUGAUAUAAAAGACUCAAAGUCCACCAGUGGAUUUGUGUUCACAUUGGGAGGUGCUGCCAUAUCGUGAAAAUCCUCUAAACAAAUAGUAAUAACCAGAUCUACGAUGGAAUUUGAGUUUAUAGCUCUAGAUAAAUGUGGUGAAAAGGCUGAAUGGUUACGCAACUUCUUAGAGGAUAUUCCAAUAUGGUCAAAACAUGUGCUAGCAAUUUGCAUAUAUUGUGACAGCCAAUUAGCAAUAGGAAGAGCACAGAGUAACAUGUACAAUGAUAGGUCUAGACAUAUAUGUCGUAGACACAAUACCAUAAAACAAUUACUCUCAACUGGAGUUAUCACUAUUGACUACGUAAGGUCAAAAGAUAACAUUGCUGAUCCACUAACCAAAGGAUUAAAAUAGAGAGUUAGUUGGGAAAUCAUCGAAAUGAAUGGGACUUAAGCCCUUGAAUGAAUAAGACAUUACAAAAGAAACCCAAGCUAAUUGACUGGAGAUCCCAAAAUCUAGGUUCAAAUGGACAAUCUAAUUGUAAAAGCUUAAUAAAAAAUCUGUGGGGGUGUUUUCUCCUGUCCAUUCCUAUGAUGUGAUAGUGAUGUCCGUACCUGUGAUGUGACAGUGAUGCCCGUAAGGAUGAAUAAUAAGCAAUAGGCUUUUAAUGAUUCUUAUGCAUCAAAAAUCUAGUCAAGUAAUGAGGGUUACUUGUAAUAAGAAAUCACUUAUGUAAGAGAGAAGUGGGGCCGCUUCUAAGAGAAUUGUGUAAAGCUCAAUUCUUAAGAACUCUCAUAAAACCAGGCAUAUGUUCAUGGCCAAUACGAACAUAAUAAUGAGAAUUGAAUUGUGUUAGGAAGAAUCCUGUGUGGAGUAUAUCAUCGUUUACAUAAAUGGCAGAACAGUUUAAGGACAACAUGUGUACUGGUCAAUUAGUAAAGUAAAUAUACUUUCACAAGGGAAGGUUCAAAGGGUAAUACCUACCUAUCCUAUGCAGGUUUCAAUCGUUGAACUUUAUCACCUAGUCUUGUGUCUCAAAGUCACCAAAUCUUGUGUCUUACGGUCUCAUGUCUCUCCCAUUUUUCAUUCAUGUGGAGGAUUGUUGGAAAGAAUGAGUAAUAGCUCAUUUUUGGCAAAAUUUUCGGUGGGACCCGUUGGUCCAAUUUAGAAGAUCAAAGUUGAUCCGUGUUCUUCUCCCUGAGAACAUCAAAAUCAUAUAUUUAUUUGCCAAAAAUGAAACUUAGGUGAAUAAGAAAUUGGAACUCAAAGAUGACCAUUGGAAUAUGGUUAUGUGGGAAAAAAAUUGAAGUUAGUCCCACAUAGGAAAAACAUGAAAGCAAGAACCACUUUAUAUAGAAUUACACUUUAGAAUGGUGUAAUCAUGUGUAGCAUAGAGGCUCUCUCCACGUGUGCGCACAGGUAGGGUACAAAUCUCGGACCAAAAUUGCCUUCAAACCUUAAACUUGUGUGCGGGCGCAACCUGCGUACACAAAUGUCGGACCGAACAGAGCAAAAAUUGGCCCCUUUUGAGAGCCCACAUUUUGCAAUUUUUUCCUUGCUUUUUUCCACUGACUUUUGAGUUUCUGAAACUUCCAAACCUCCUAAAAAUUGAAGUGACUCCAAUAUUAAUUGUCAUAGAGUUAAUGACAGAUUUAUGCUAUAUUAAAUCUCAAGUUUUCUAGCAAUUAAAUAAAUGAAAAAAAAACAUACAAAAUUCUCUCUGCACAAAAAAAUUCUCAAAUUUUGUCGUCGUCUUCGUUUUGUCCAGUGAAGUCAUCGUGGUGGUGAUAUUGUUCAGACGCUAACUCGGUUCGUCGGAGUAGUUUCUGUAGUGCUCAGAUUUUGUUGGUUUUGCCGUUGUAUCCUGAAAAACAGACGCUCGGACUAGACCUCAAGCACUUACGGUGAGGGGACGAAUCUAUUUUAAGGAAAUUGUGAUCACACAAACCUCGGGUUAAAAGUCUAUAUUUAAAUUUAUAUGCUUUCCAGUUUAAAUCUCUGUGCAUUUCUUUAUAUGCAGAUUUACAUGCUUUCCAGAUUUAUUUAACUUUCAGUUUAAAUCUCUAUUUUUUGAAAUUUAUAUUACGUUUGUGUUUCUGCAAAUAAUAUAAUUACUAUACUUAUUCAAGUAGUUUAAUUCGUUUUAAUUAUCACAAUUUAGAUAAUAUUUUGUAUAUACGAACCGGGAUAUGAAAUCGUGUUUAUGGAAAUUCAAAUUCUAUGUUAUUUAAAUUAUUUUAUGAAAACAAACAAUUUGUCCAAAAUCUGUGUUGUUUAAGUUAUCAUAAAGUUUCUGCAAAUUCUAUUGUUAUGUCACUGUCAAAUACGGUGAGCUGCUUGACAUAUACGGUAAGCUGUCAAAUAUGGUGAGCUGUCUGGAAUAUACGGUAAGCUGCCAAAUACGGUGAGUUGUCUGACAUAUACGGUAAGCUGUCAUAUAAGGUGAAUUGAACUGCCAAAUACGGUAAACAAUUGUCAAAUACGGUAAGCGUGAAUUCAGUGUCUAAAUCACAUAUACGGUAUAUGAGAACCUAAUUUCACUCCAUACACUACUAAUUAAAUUUACCAACAGUAGAUUGAUGCUCAAUACACUAGACAUCAAAAUAUGUUGUCUGUCUUUUUUUUUCACUAAAGAAAAUCACACUCAGACUUGGUUAAUGUAAAAAGAGAAGAAAAUGCAUGAAAGAGAAUAUAUAAAUUAUGGUUUGUAUUUAGAGUUCAUUAACACUUAACAUAUCAUAAAAUAUCAGUUCGAGUUCCAUUAAAAUGAGAUUUUAAGGAAAAUUAUAUUUUAACAUAAUAGUUUUUUAAAGAAUGUAUGAUUAAAAAAUAAGAAAAAAAAGUUUGUAUUUAACAUAACAUUAUUUGAUGAAAAAUGUGGUCCAAAUGAGUUUUGGAAAAACUCUUUCUUUUGUCCGGUCAAAAUGGAGCCCAAACAAGGGCAAAAUGACUUAGAUAACCUUGGCAUGUUUGAGCACUGCAUGUUUGUAUCUUCUAUAUAUAAUUGAGUUUGGCAAGUCUUCAACGUUCAAAACAAAUUGAGUAAUCAUUACGUACGUAUAUUACCCGUGACAAUACUAAAAACAUAAUUUCUCGAGUUAUACUUCAUGUAAUAUUGUCUAAUGCCCAAUUAAAUUGAGUAUCAAAAGAUCAUAACACAAAUUAUGUGAAAAGUAUAAUCACUUAAAUUAUAUUGGAAUAAGAUGGGAUCAAAAAUAGUUUAAUCUUGUGAAUCUACAUCUAAAAGUAGAAUUCAAAAUAUAUUUGAGAUGCGUUUAUGAAUAAGUGAAGUUAUAAUUAGAUAAAAAUGAAUGGUAAAUAAAUGAAUAGUACUUAUGAAAAUAUUUAAGGGUCCGUUUGAUUGCAAGAAUAGAAUUUGAGUGGAAAGAAAACAAAUUUCAAGAAAUUGAAUUGUCUAGAACUUAUUUUAUUGGAAAUUGUUAAUUAAACGUGUUUGAUUGAUAUAAUUUUUUACCGAAAAAUGUUGAAAUUUUAAAUCUUUUGAUUUUCGUUUGGCUUUGUUUUUAUGAAAACUGUCAAUCAAAUAGAUAAACUUUGUUACAAUUGUAGAUAGAAAUUUGUUUCCAUUGCAGCCCAAAAAAAAAAGGUGGAAAACCCAAUUCCCACGGAAUUGAUUUUGCUUAAAAAGCUAGAAAAUGGGUCACGUAAGGGGGGGUGGGGGGUGUUAGUCUAGAAAAGCAAUUCCGUGAAAAAUUUUGAUCAUCAAAUAACACAUUUGGAAUGGACAAUUACCAUGAAAUAUUAAGGUAUCAAACAGGCCUUAAAUGUAUAAGAGGGUGUUUGGGAGUCAUUUUUAUAUAAGAAUAUAUUUUGAAAUAGUAAAUUAAUGGAAAAUGUGUGGUUGAAAAAUAAAGAAAAGUUUUUGAUUUACGUAUAAUAUUAUUUUAAUGAAAAAUGUGUGAUUAAAAAAAAGAGAGAAAAUGCAUUUUGAAAAAAAAUUACCAAACGGAGCCUAAAUAAAAAGUAAAUUGGAUGUUGAUUAAAGCGUUUCAAAAGUAAGUUUUCUUAAGCAAAUUAAAUGAGCAUAUCCCAAAAAAUCAGCUAAAUAAAUAAAGUAUUUAAAUAAAUAAAAAUUGGUGGUUUAAAAAGUGGAGUCCACGACAAGACUUGAUUGAACAAUUCAUUUGUUAUUGGGCCCAUAAGGUCUGCCAAUUCAAGAAUGUGUCCCAUCAAUGAAUGGACCCUCCUAACCGCCCAAAAAUCCCCUGCCAGGUUCAGCUGAAUAAAAGGCCCCCUACAAAUCCAAACAUGAAAUCUUUGUUAAAUAGGUGAUAUGACUGAUUUGAUGCCCUAAAAAGCCUUAGGGAAUGACGAACUUUUUGCACAGUAUCUAACAUGUACUCAUACAUUUCUUUCCAUGAUCGAUCGAGCUGGGCGUACAUGCCCAAUUCCUUACAGACCCCUUCUAGGGUUUUACGUGGGGUAAGGUCGAGAUAUUUAUUUUUAUCAUUUUUUAUUGCCUCAGGGGCUGCAUGGGGCCAAUCCAUGAAAGAGGUAUAUAAGGUCCCUAUGAAAUGAAGCCCUGUACACAGGAUUUUAUUCUUGUACAAUCGUGUCUAUUUGAAGAGCUAGACUUAUUAUAGUCGAUUUAUUCAAAAUAGAUCAAGUGCUUUUUUUUUUUUUUUAUUUUAGGUCAAUCGACUCAAAGAUUUAUAUGUUAUAUUUUGAAUAGAUUUUGAUUGUAACUUCACACAUUCUAACCUUGGAGAUAUGACAAAAAACCUAUUAGUUCGUAUGACUUAAAAGAACGUGAUAGCAUCAUCCAUUUUUCAAAGAAGAAUAGAAGAAUGAACCAAAAAUAUUAUCAUUAUGCUUCAAUCGAAUUAUUGUAUUUAAUUCCUUUUUAAAAAAACUAAAGUAAAUCAAAACAUACGCUAUUUGUAUAUUUAUACAAAACUUCCUCUUGAGCACAUACAAGGAUCGUAGAGAGUCGAGUGAAAUUCAAUUUGUAAAAGUCAUUGUAUUAAAGGUCAUAAUGCAAGAGGAAUUAUAAUUGCAAGACAUGGAAAAGGAGGUCAUGUACGUUCAUACUAUAAAAUUGUUUUCAAUUAUAAAAAUCGUCCAAACUUUUUAGCUUGUCAAACUUCAAUUUUAACUACACGUUUCAUGAAAAAAAAAAAAACAACCUUUCCAAGCUCACAUUACAUCAAUUUUUAUCAAAAAGUUCUGAAACUUUUAUCAAAAACUUAAUUGAACAACUGUUACAUUUCACUAUUCACAAUUAAAGAUUAAUCAAUUGUUUGGCAAACAAUGUAAAUGAUUAAACUUCAUUUUUUACCACACAUUUUUAAUAAACUCACAAAUACCAACCACUUAUUAACUACUCAUUUUAGUCUAUUUAUAAAUUAAAUCAAUUAUAUGUUCUUUCAGAAUGAAAUUUAAUUAGUUUGUGUAUUUGCAAUUACUUCAUUUUUAUUUAACUUUAAUCAACAAAAACUUUCAACUUAACUACAUUAUCUUGUGACAAAAAGUCAAUUAUUUUGAUCGUAAAGUAAAAAGUUACUUUAUUUGUUUAAUUUAUAUAUAUAUAAACUUUUUACUUAUAAGAGCUAAAUUGUUUAAGCUAGCUCAACAUGUACGUCAAAUUAGACCCAAAUUCAAGGCUUUAACAGCCUUAUCCAAAGCUUAUGGGCCCUUCCAAUGGCCCACCAGUGAACCCACUGCACAUUGAUUACCAACUGACUGAUUUGACGAGCUCGAGACAUCAAUCCCACGCUUGGUUACUUGGGGUACUGAUGAUUUUGAUGGUCAAUUUAAAAAUCGGUGGACGAGAACUAAACUCCUCUUUGCCCUGUGAAAAUAUUAAUGGGUAGAAUAAUUUUAUUUUUUUAAAUGAGCGGUUAAAAAAGAAAGAAAAAUUUUAGAUUUACUUAUAAUAUUAUUUUGUGGAAGAUUGUGUGGUUAAAAAUAUGAGAGAAAAAAAUAAAAUGUAAUGGAAUGAAAAUUAAUAGGGACCAAACGGGGCUAAAACUUUCACCUCUCACUCUCACUCUCUCUCUCUCUCUCUCUCUCUCUCUCUCAACCUUUUUAACUUUUCUCUUUUUCUUUUACCAUUUUCCGAUACACUCUUCUCUUCUUCGUUGCUUGAACAAAAGAAUAAAGCAGGACUAGGAAAUAUACAUAAAAACAAAAAUUCAUUAGUAAAAAGAAAUCGACUAGCAGUAUACAGAAGAAAUCAACAAUUGAGUUGAACGCACUUUGAGAAAAAAGUGUAGCAACAAUUGAUUAAAUUGAACAUUUGAACUAUAAAGCAGGCAUUUUAAAUGAAAACAUGAAAGAUACUAAUUUUUGCUUUGAUCACUAAAGAAGGAUUAUCUCCACAAGUUGCCAGCAAAUCUGAGGCCACACUCCAUUGGAAUAUGAACUAAACCAUUUUAAGUACAGAGCUGGGAUUUCUAUUGAUGUAUGAACAAUGAUUCUUUAAGACUUCAAAUCCAAAAAAAAAUCAUGAGAUCAAGUCAAGAAAUCAACAAAAAGGGACUCCUAGGCGAACUGAAGAGAGAAAACUGAUAAAGAUUUCAUUUUACAGAAAUUUUGCGGUCCAACCUCUCAUUUUGGGGUUCAAAGCUCCAGGUUCAGCGGUUGUCUUGCUGUUGUUCUUUAUCCAAAACGUGAGUACGGAAGAUGCAGCAGCAAACAUGACCCUACAAGGUGCCCAUUUUAGGCAAGAGGCGACGCCUAUGUAGCUAUCCCAGGACGCCACCUACAAAUGGGUAAGAGAAUUUGUUCAGAGACACGAAUAUCUUCCAAAUCCCAAGCAACAACAAUUAAUGUGGAAACAAUUCUAUAAACAUCAUGGUUUUCCAACCAGCCUACCAUGCACAUGUUUGGCUAAGCUUAGAAAAAUGUCAAAUUUAAUUUUUAAAGAACUCUUUAAUUCCCAAACGUUUUUGGAUAUGUUACUUUUUGCUUUAUAAAAAUUACUAACUACCAAAGUAAAUCAUACCCCAAUGUCAAAAUAAGAAACUUGGCUUUCAGCUAAAUCGAAAGACAUGGAGCAUUACAAAUUUACAGAUGAAGUAGAAGGGCCCACAACUGCUGUCACAGGAAGUUUAACAGGCUUAGAAAAUUGUCUUUGUAGACAGAACUUGAGCAAUAUCACAAAAGCUUCCAUCUUCAUUCUUCAAAUGGUUUGAUUAGAUCAUAUUGGACACGGACAGGAAGAUUACGUUGUCUAGCAUAUCGAUUCUCCACACAGGCAGAUUUCCAUCCCCAGAACCUGGAACCGAAUCAAGAAUCAAUUUCAAUUACAAUGUCAUAAACAAAUACCAGCAGAAUUGAGUGCCACGAGGCUGAAAAAAUCCCUGGAAAUCUAAGACCUAAGUGGCAGGUGUCGAUUUUAUAUUUUGGAGAUGUUGCUGUAAUUAUGGCUUGAUGUUUGAGAACAUAACUUGCCUCACCUUUCCUAAGGAUGUAGUCCACAACUAUUGUCAUUACAAAUAUCUAAUAGCAUACUAUCAUCAUACAACUACCAAAAUAAUAUUACCACUAAUGUCUUACCUCUAAUAUUAUUAAUGACAAGGGAAAAGAAGUGGUACCAGAAACCAAAUAUUGGCCAUCAGGUGUAAAUGUUGCCUCUAUUGUUGUAUCUGGUGACGGAUCCACCCUAAACCCACAUUUCUGCAACAGAAAAAGUUGAACUUUUUAAACUAGCAUAUAUUGCCACAACAAUGAAACACCCAUUACAGAAGCUACGUUUUCAACGGCCAAGUGUAUUGUACAAGAUCUUAUGCAACGUGAUGGAAAAGUUCAACAAGACAGUCAGGCUAACCUUCUCUCAUGCAUGUGAUAUGUAGUUUUCAGCAACCUGAGUUUUAUACAAAGUCAUUAAAGGUAAAUUCCUCCAGGGAAAAGAUGUGGGUUCAACGAGGUUGCACAGGGUCUUAUGGCUAGCUAACGGUCUUACUUUGAUGUCAUAAACUCACACCGAAUAGUCGUCACUAGCUGUUACUAAUAAAUAAGCUGUCCUAUGAAAAUCAGCGGAAUUAAUUUUUCCACCCUGAACAAGAGAUGGAUAAAAUCUAGAGCUAAACAAACGUUCCAAAUCCUGAUCAUCCAGUGUACUUCAAUUUCAACAUAACAUACAACUGAAAUUUAUUCCAACAGCGUCCUACCAAAUUAAACAUACACACGCUUACACGUAAUACACUCACUCCCAGUUUGUCGCGAAACAAAUUUGCAAAUUAAUACAAAACUUUCAAGUUAAUAAUCACAACUUUAGCAUAAUGGAAAAAUUCAGGAAACAGAAAGUCGAAAGCAGAGGACUAACAAAAUCCGAGAAGACGGUUCCAAUUGAUCUGCUGCGAACUACAUCGUUGUUGAGUUCUGAAAGUGAAGUCAUCUCAAUCCAAGAUCAAUUCUUGAGAAGAAAGAACACGAAUUGAAUUAAGAUUCCUAAUGGGCAAUCACAAAAGUAUUCCUGAAUUAUAAAUAUCACUGUGCCAAUAGGAAUUUUAUUAGGGGUUUAUGUGUUUAAGGUUCAACGGAUUUGCUUUUGGUUAUUCUAUACGUCCAAUCAAAUAAUUUCUAAGAGAAUGUAAAUAAUCUGAUUAUUAGUAAAUAACAAUUAUACAUCUGCAACCCAAUUAUUAUUACCAUUGUAUCCUUAAUUCUGACUCUAGUUCUCAAUAAGAUACACACAAGUCUAUUAACUUCUCCAUUCUUCUCUCCUUUUCUCUGUAUUUUAAUACACGUUAUCAACCUGAAAUUUUUUAGGUAAAAACGCGAAUUAAAUUACUCUAUUUCUUUACGUGUUCAUUUUUCUAUAUGUGUUUAUGUAAAAAAAUCAACAGCUUUUCCUCGAUAUUUGUUCUUUUGGAAUCAAUAGUUUCUUCUGCAUACAAUAUUUUCAUUAUAUCAAUCAAUUGCAUGAUGUCCAUGAUGUCCAAUCAAUUGCACGUAUUUAAUAAUUACGUACUUUUACGUUUUCGUUUGGUGUGCAUAUAUGAAUGAACCAUUAGUUAACAUCAUAUAUCUGUAAAAAUUAAUUGUAAAUGCACAUCUUUUUUUUCUUGUUUAUCGUUCGAUUUCGUAUUCUUAUUUUUUAAUACGUAGUAUAAUUUAUGAAUUUGGUACUCUUAUAUCUAUCUAUUAUAAAAUAUUAUUGUUUCUCAAACAGCACACUAUUAUUUACAUAUAUUCUAGUUGUAUUUUACUUAUUCUCAAAGAAUAUAAUUAAAUACAAUCUAACAUAAAUUAUAUUUGUAUACUUAAAGAGUAAAUUCUUAUACAUUUUAUUAUUUUAAAUAAUAAUAUGUUACUACUCUUGAAAAGCAUGAUAUUAUAAUUCUCAAUAUUUCAAAAGAAUAUUGGUAUAUUACUCUUAAAAAAGCAAUAGCAUAAUACAACGUACUCCCGAACUAGUAUAUGUUUCGAAGAAUAUAUCAUUUUGAAUUAAUAUUUAUUGAAAGAAAGUAUAUAGUUCAAGUCAUGCUAAUAUUGAUUAGUUAUCGUGUGAUUAUACAAUGUUUAAUCACAUCCUUCAAAAUUAAUUGUAUUUUUUACUUGAUUAUGCAGUCACUCAAAUGUCAAAUAUCACGAAACUUGAGUUUGUUGCACUCAACAUAUCUGGUAAAAAUUAUGUCACGAGUCCUCGAUGUUAAAAAAUUCACCUUGUCUCCAAAGGUUUGGGAGAAAUUAUAAAAGAAAAUCAAGAAUUCUUGUAGGAUCGAAUACCUAACUAUGAAGUAUCCAUAGGUUUGUUGGAAAAAAUUGAUUGGAAGAUUUGACAACUAGAAAACUGUAAUCCGUCCUAAAGCCCAAUAUGAAUAAAUGCAUUUUCGCAUGCAAGAUUUUAAAACUGUUAAUAACUACAAUUUUAAAAUGUUCAGAAUAUGUAUAAAAUUGACUGUGAUGAAAAAAUCAUUGAUGAAAAUAUGUUAAAAAAAAGUUUCCACCUUUCAUACCUCUAAUGUUCUCCUAUACUAACAGAAUGGUGAGCAGGGUUUCAAAAAGUAAUUAUAACUUAUAUCUUGCAGUUGAACAAAAUAAUGAUCUGCUCAUUACGUCCAACUAGUUCUAUACCAUUGCUUAAUGUAAAUGGUAUUGCAUUGCCUGAAGCAAAUGCAAUAUCAAGUCGAGGAUGUGGACGCAGACAUGAGAAAAAUCAUAGAGGAAAUAAUCAACAAAACUAUCAGUAACAAUUCAACAAUUUGAAAAUGUAUUAAGCAAAUGAAAGUAGUAUAACCAAAAAAUAGCAUUAAAAAUUGCUUUAGAUAUAGAAUGAAAAAGCAUUGGGCACGUACCUCUCGUAUGGCAAAACAUCUUAUAAAUCUCUACCAAAAAUCAAUCAAGAUAAAAGGCAAAGUGUUGACAAAUUUCACUGAUUAUAAUGAUCCAAAUGAUGUGACUCACUAGGAUGUCUUUAAUUUUAUUGUUGAGCCAAAUGAAAAUAUUGAUUAUCUAAUCAGAUAAUAAAUUCUAAAUAAAAAUAAACUAUUAAGAUAAUGAAAAAUAAACUAAUCAAUAUUAUCGAGCACACUACCUUCGAUUAAAUGAUCAAUAUUGCCAUUUAAGUCAACAAAACAAUUAGAAACGCCCAAGUGAGUUAUACUAAUUUUGUCUUUACUUUUUCAUUUUCCUUAUUGAUUUUUGGUAAAAAUCCAUAAGAUAUUUUACCGUAGGACAAGUACGUACCUAAUAUCCUUUCAUUUCACAUCUAAAGCAACUUUUUAUGCUCUUUUUUAGAUAUGCUACUUUCUUUUACUUUAAGCUUUUGAAAUUGUUACCUGGUUGCUAAUAGUUUUCGCCUAUGUCUGUGGACACAUCCAUGUCCUUGUCUUGAUAUUGCAUUUUCUUCAAAUAAUACAAUCUCAUUUGUUUCAGACAAUACAGUACCAUUUACUUCAAGUAAUGGUAUAGAACCAAACUGACAUAAUCCAAAAUUUUUCAUCUACUAUUCAUUAUUUUAUUAAGCUACAAGCAGGCAAAAUAUGAGUUCUCAGUACUUUCUAAAACCACACUCAUGAUAUUGCUGUUGUAGGAAUACAUUCGAAGUAUGAAAGAUGAAAAAAGUUAUCCAACAAAAUUUUAUUAGUGAUUUUUUCUUUGCACAAAGUCAAUUUUGGACAUUUUCUAAACACUUUAAAAUUAGUCACUAACAAUUAAAAUUUUUCAAGUGAAGAUACAUCUAUUCAUAACGGGUUUUUAGAAAGACUACAGUUUUCAGGUGGUCAAAUCUUUUCAAUAAAUUUUUUUCUAAAGAAUCUGUGGAUCCUUCACAACAACAUAUUCGAUUUUCAAUCCAUCAUGAACAUAGUGACGAAGGAAAAUAAGUACUUUUACACGAUCCUACAAAAAUUCUUAAUUUUUUUCUUUUAUUAUCUCUCUCAUACCCUUUGAGAUAAAGUAAACCUCGGUAUCUAAGACUUACGACAGAUAAUUUUUACCAGAUUUAUCAAAUGAAACAAACUAAAGUUCUUUAAUGUUUUUCCAUUUGAAAAACUACACAAUUAAGCAAAAGAAAAUACAAUUAAUUUCAAAAAAUAUGAAUAAACAUUAUAUAAUCACAUAAUAAUUAAUUAAGUAAUUAAUAUCAACAUGACAUGAGCUAUAUGUGUUCCUUUAGGAUAAACAUUAAUUCAAAAUGAUAUAUUCUUCUGAAACGUCCUACUUCGGGAGCAUGUAGUAUUUUAUUAUUGUUUGUUCGAGAGUAAUAUGUAAAUAUUCUUCUAAAAUAUUGAAAAUAAUAAUAUCACACUUUUCAAUACCAAUAACAUUAUUUAGAAAAAUAAAUUAUAUAAGAAUUUAUUCUUUAGGAGUACAACAUAAUUUACGUUAAAUUGUAUUUAAUUAUUUCUCCGGGAGCAAGGAAAUCUAUCUAGAAUAUAUGUAAAUAAUAGUAAGCUACUUCAUGAGCAAUAAUAUUUUGUAACAGACAAACAUAAGAGUAACAAAUUCAUAAAUUAUAUUGCAUAUUAAAAAAGAAUGCGAUAAUUACUCAAACGAUAAACAUGAAGCUAAAAAAUAAGACAGAUAUGCAUUCACAAUUAAUUUAUGCAAAUAUGUAUGUUGACUAAUAAUUCAUUCAUAAAUGCACAUCAAACAAAAAUGUAAAAAUAAACAAUGCAAUUAAUUGGAUAUUGUGCAAUUGAUCGGAGCAUUGAUUGACAUCAUGGAAAUAUUGUAUACAAAAGCAAUUGUCAAUUCUCAUAGGAACAAAUAUCGAGGAAAAAUUGAUUACUUCACAUGUAUACAUAAAUAUGUAUGUAGAAUAGACACGUUAAGAAAUAGAGUAAUUUAAUUUGUGCUUUUACAUAAAAAAUUUCGUGUUGAUAACAUAUUAUAAAAUAGAGAGAAAAGGAGAGAAGAAUAGAAAAGUCAAUAGACUUUUAUGUAUUUUAUUAAGAACCGGAGCCCAUAUUUAUGGAGAAUAAUUAGAGAUACAAUGAUAACAACAAGAGCACAAGUACAAUUGUCAUUCACUAAUAACUAGGCCAUUAAAUGAUCUACCUUAAACUUGCUGUCAAAGUUUGUUAGAAAUUUGCAUGGGCUCCUAGUAAUGUUUAAAAGCAAUAAUUGCUAGAACCAAUAGUUAAAAAAUAAAACUUGUCUAGACUUUGCGAGACAAGUAUAUAAUGUAUUUCCAGCAAACUCAAAGAAUAUAUCCUCUUCUACUAAAUUGCAUGGGAUGAAAAUGCAUGAACGGAUUUCCCUCUGUUAUGAAUGCAUCCAAGUAAAAAUCUCCAAAUCAAUCUUAGUAAAUAAUGCGGGUAGAAUUACUUAUUGGAGCGAUCUUGCUCUCCUAAUAUCAGCAAUUAGUGGAAGAUAAACCAAGUAAGGCAUGAGAUCUCACCUCUCUUUGUGACCCGUAAAGUUGCGAAGACACCUAUUGUCAUACCAUAAUAUUUCUGGCAACAAAAUGAUCGCGAAGAGAAAAAAAUGUCAGAACUUCGAUGUCAUAGUUCCAAAAUCAUAAAUAUAAGGCUAAAGCCACUAAACUCCAUAGGAAUCCAAAUUGUGCCUUGAAUAGCACAUGACAGAACCCUGGUGGUGAGUAAAACAUAUCCUAUCAGCUCCAUGCUUCUUGUGAUAUGUAGUUUUCAGCAACCUAAGUUUUAUACACAGUAAUUAGAGGUAAAAUCCUCCAGGGAAAAAGAGAUGUGGGUUCAACGAGGUUGCUCAGGUUCUUAUGUCUAGCUAACUGUCUUUCUUGGCACUUGUGAUGUCAUAAAGUCGCACCAAAUCGUUGUCACAAACUGUUACUAAUAAAUCAACUGUCCUAUGAAAAUCAAUGGAAUUUAUAUUUCCACGCUGAACAAGAAAUUUAUAUAAUCUAGAGUUAAACCAACGUUCCAAAUCCUGAUCAUCUAGAGUACUUUAAUUUCAACAUAACAUUAAACUGAUUCAUUCCAACACCAUUCUACCAAAUUACACAUACACACGCUUACACAUAAUACCCACAUUCCCAGUUUGUCGCGAAACGAAUUUGCAAAUUAAUACAAAACUUUCAAGUAAAUAAUCACAACUUUAGCAUAAACGAAAAAUGCUGGAAACAGAAAAUCGAAAACAGAGUACUAACAAAAUCGGAGAAGACCGCUCCAAUUGACUUGCUGUGAACUACACUGUUGAUAGGUUCCGAAAGUGAAUUCAUCUAAACCCAAGAUCAAUUCUCGAGAAAGAAACAGAAAGAACGCAAAUUGAAUUAAGAUUCCAAAUGGGCAAUCAAGAAACAAUUAAUCGCUAUAUAAUUUGUGAAUUAUAAAUAUCACUGUUCUAAUAGGAAGCUUAAUGAGGAGUUUAUGAGUUUAGGGUUCAAGGGAUUUGUUUUUCUUUUUCAUUUUCUAUCCGUCCAAAAAUAAUAAUAUAAUAUCUUCUCUUUUGUUAGCCUCUUAUAUUAUGAAUGUAAUUACUUUUUUAUAAGAUUCACAACUUUUCAAAUAUACAGUUCAUCAACUUUUUAUAAAAUAUACGAAGAGCAUGUUUAAGCUCCAUUUUUCUUAAGAAUGCAUUUUUGAACUUGUAAUUACUAUCAUUUGAUAUUUGUUUUGCCAAAAUACAAUUUUCAGUAAUUAUAUGAUGCGGAUAUUUGUAAUAAUAUCAAAAAAAAAAUUUCUCCCUUCAUUGUGUGCAUCCGUUCUCAUUCUAUCCCUUUUAUUUAUUUUCUCUACUCUUGCUCUUGCAAGCUCUCGUCGCUUGUUUAUUUUUAAUUUUUCUACUUUGCAAUUCUAGAGACGAUUUUUUUAAAAAAAAAUUUUGGGUUUAUUGGGAUGUUACGAGAGUUUCAAGUAAAAAGACCACAAACAAUGAAGCAGUGAGACAUGAGCAAAAAUGGGGGAAAUGGACAUUGGGGAGGGUAAAUGUUGGACAAACGAAUAAGAAGGAUUAUAUAACGACGAAUGUAAAUUAGAUGACAUAAAAUAUUAUUGGGGUAAAUAAGAAAUUAGUCGUAAAAAGGAAACUCUUUAAACAAGUUUCUCUUGUCUUGUAAUCCAAUUGUUUCCCAAUUGCUAGUGAACUGAAAAGAACUGUCUCAAAGAAAUUCAUAUAUAUUAUAAAAUUAUGGAUAAUUAUUAAUGAUUAUUUAGUCUAUAAUAAUAUACACACUUUUUGACUCUAUUACUUUUCUUCCAACGUUUUCUUUUCCUCUUAAUUUUACAAAAUGUUAUCAACACUGUUGGUGAAAUGUCCAAAAAAUCUUGAAAUCGAGAUCAGUUUAUUCACUAAACAAACACCAACCGAGAAGGCUCUAACCCAUAACUUCUACACUCCGAUUGCCACAAGUUUUCAAUUCACAAAGGAGACACUUGGUAGUGAUUAAAUGCACUCAUGACGGAGGAAGAGAAUAGAGGUAACAAUGGUUGAAUUCCAAUUCCCUCCAAGACGGAAGCCCUGACCUUUCUCUCUAUGCAAUUCACUCACACUCACGAUUGGAGGUAAGGGAAUGGAUAUAAAGCCAAAUCAUUUAAGUCACCAUAUUGGACCAAGACUCAAACAAAUUGACCAACACUUCAAAACCAAGGCAAUUCAUAAAAUGGGCCAACAUAUCACCAAUCUAAAACCACAACUUGGGACAUCCAUGAAUGUUGGAUCUCGAGCAACAUUAACUUAAUUAAGGAAAAAUUCCAAAUCUAAUAGAUCAAGUAUAACUCAUUUCAAAACUAAGAAAUAAAGUUUAAAACUUAAAAAUCAUAUAAUAAUUAAAAUUUAUUUAUGAAAUAAUUAAUUAAAAUAUAUUUCAUUAAUUAAAUAUAUUAAGGUCACAAUUGUGUAUUAUUCGAUCACAAAUCAAAUUAAUUGGUCAUAAAUUAUUUCUCUGUCACGAAUAAAAAUUUUAUAGGUCACGAAUUAUUUUUCGGUCACAAAUCAAAAAUUUUAUAGUCCAUAAUUUAUUUCUCCAUCACAAAUUAAAAUAUUUUAUAAGCCACAAUUUAUUUAUCGGUCAUAAAUCAAAAAAAAUUAUAGGUCACAAUUUAUUUAUUGAUCACAAAUCACAAAUUUUAUCAAUCAUAACUUAUUUUAUAAUAACAAAUUAUCAAAUUAAUUGGUCACAAGUUAUUCCUCAAUCAAAAAUUAUUGAAUUAAUGGGUCUCAGCUUUCCAAAUUCUAGUUAUGAUUCCAAAUUUAGUCACCAUCACAUGUUCUUUUAGAUCACAUAUUAUUUAUUGGUCACAAAUUAACCAAUUUAUUGGUCCCAACAAUCAAAUAAUUGAUUAUAAACCCUCUUCAUCGCCACCGCCACAACACUAACACCACUAUCACCAACGCCACUACCACCAACACUGCCACCAACACCAGCAACAAAUGCCGCUGCUGCAGACGCCACCAACUGUAGUUGCAAUGAUGUCGAUUGAUGUCGCUCCCAGCACUGGACACUACCAUCUCGCUUCGUAGUUACUCUUUCUACAAAGCCACAAGAAGAACCACCAAUCUUCAUCAAAUUGAGAAAACCACAACCACUUUUUCUCAAAACCAGAAAAUACAAAUUAAAACCAAGAAAACCACCAAUCUUUCUUCACCACUACCGGCUCCUCAUGAUUUUUGGUUUUCUCAUCAAGGUUUGUUCGAUUAGGGAUUUAGAUUUAAGUUUUUGAUAAGCGAUCUAAAGGGUCCACGGCGUAGGUGAAGGGCUCAUGGAACCACAACAGUGGUCCUGUGCGCGACUGUGCUACAUGCAGCAAUCCGUCAUGCGCGACGGUCAUACGAAUGGCAACACAACAUGCGAUUGCCUAAGGGCACAUGUCUAUAAUGGUUCUUCACGCUAUGGUGAUCUUGCACAGUGUAGUGGUUAAUAUUCGAAGCGCGACCAAUAGUGGUUGUUUUCCAGUGUGGGGGGGGGGGGGGGGGGGGAGAGAAAGAAAGAGGACACAAUUUUUUUAAUGAGAUGGGGGUGUGGAUGAUGGGAUGAAUUACUAGUAACAUAUUUUUUAAAUACAUAUUAAAUAAUAAACUAUAAUCUGAAUUUUGAAACAUGAAACUUAGAAUAUGAUUUAUGAAAUGUAUAUUUAAAAACAGGCAUAUAUGUAAUUUCCACCUUAAUUAAGUUAAGUGACCCAAGUUGUUUUCGAAUUGAGUCAUCGCUAAGGUUUCGAUAUAACUUAUCCAACAUCAUUUUAACAUCAUCUUUUGAAUUUAUUGGGUAUCAAAAUCCAACAAGAACAAUUCUUUAAUUAUCAUACAAACAAAAUAAGUCAAUAUUUUUCACAGAUUUAUUCUUCCUAAAUAAAUUUGUGCAUUGUUUUGUAUUCCAAAAGAAAUAAUUCUCAAUUAUACUAAUGAUACCACUUAAUAUUGAAAACCGCAUAGAUUUUGUAUUUGGCCAAUAAGUAAAGAGGAUGUAGGCAGAGCAAACUUCAUGCAUAAUUACAACCUUGCAAUUGCCUUUGGUAACACCCGUAAUUGUGCUAAUGGAACCAAAUUUGACUAUUUAUUUAUUUAUUUAUUUAUCAAUAAAGGUAAACGUCUCAUGUGCAAUUUUCUUAGUUAUUCUCCUCGAUUAUUAUUUUGUCAAUAUAUUGAUCAAUAAGAAGCAUAUUAUUUAUUCCUAUGUAAGAAUAUUUCGGAAUAAUGUAAUAUUAAUUCUCUGGAGAAAUAAACAUUAUGCUCUUAUCUUUAUAUAUUUUAAAAUAUUAUUAUGUUAUUGCUCUUAAAUAAGCAUAAAUUUUAUAUGAAUAGUGUUGGAAAAUUAUCAACACCGGGGUUUGAAGAGGAAAACAAUAAAUAGAAAUUCAAGAAGAUGAAAAUGAACAAGAAGAUCAAAACCAAUAUGAAGGCUCAAACAUUAAAUAAUCUUGCUGUCCUCGAAAGAUAUUUGUCCCAUCUCUAGAUUAUACGAGAUGCUUCAAGUGUUUUUACGGCAAACGGUUCGUAGGAUUGAUCAAGCCUUGUUGCAGAAAAAUACUAAAGCAUAAAUGUUUUUCCACUCGAACUUGAAGAACACAAGAGGGAAUUGCUUGAAUACGGAAGAAAUGAAGAUUGAUACUUUUUGUGGAAUGAAGUAUAUGUUUUAAUAUGUUUCUCAUAUGAUUUUUCAAUGUUAUUGUAUUGAUCCCUUAUCACCUAUUUAUAGAUAUCAAUUAAUAACCCACAAAUUGGUGCCAAAACAGGAUGAAGAGUUACAAAAAUCCCUCCAAAAGCCACCAAAAAACCAAUCAAAAAAGGGCCUCCAAUGGUCACUUUGUGACUUCCAUGCAACUGCAUGGUACAUAUCUUUUAAUAGGCCAUGCAACCGCAUGGCUUAUUGGCCCACGUGUUCGCGUGAAUCAAUGCAAUGGCUCCCAAUUGUUUUACUUAUUCCACACUCGGCUCUUAUUGAUGUUGAACAAUAUACAACAAUCCUCCACUUGUUCAACACUUAAUGAGAUCUCAUAUUCAAAGUAUACGAUACCCAUACAUAAGGAUUAGAUAUCUUUCGAUUUGAAUCCAACCAUAGUGUAAUUCAAAACAAAGUAAAGUUAGAAUCAAAGGUAGCUUGAAACUUUGAACCAGUUAUUCCAUGUGACAAUACCGGUAAGAACACACACACGAGUACCACGUGUUCUCAAGUUCCUCAAUUCGCUUAAUGCUUUUAUGGUCUUGAGCUCAUCCUAUUCAACAAACUUUUAAAAGAGAAACUCUAACUCUCUAUUGAGGCAGCACUACCUAGAAGUUCAUCUAGGUGAAAUUCUUCCAGUAUCUUUGUUACUUUUUAGAGGUACUUGUGUUUUAGCACUGAAUUUCAUUAAGAGCUUAAAGCGCAAUCCUCAUUCUAGUAACAACCAACAUUACUUUAACUAGGAUAAGGUCAUCAUGGAUUUGAAUAAUGCUGCAACUAUUCAUAUAUCGAAUGACUUGUUGUUAUCCUUUGAACCCGUGGAUCACCUUUUGAGUGAUGGCAGGUAGGAUUGCUGUCGUUGGUGGACCUUUUUAGUUAAGGAGUUUCAAUCUCAUGCUACUCGAAGUAGAUUCCACUGAGUCUCUAUUUAGAGAUUUAGAUUUAGGAUCCGCUAAGUCUCUACAGAAAUUACUCUAUAUUUGAUAAUUUCCUUAUGAAGUUCGGUCUAAGACUCUUAUGUCUAGACUUUCCAUUACAUGUAACUUAGUAUCUUAUUAAAUAUAGCUAGCCAACAAUCAAUUCAUUUAAUAGAUACAUCUUGCCACCACUAAGAAUUCUCUCGUGCUUCUCAUUAGCUUUAUUUAAAGCUUUACUGAUUUCCAAAACACGAUUGGAUGAUUUCUUUCAAUCCAUUACACUAGUGAAUCACUUUAAUUUGUAGAUUUCAUACUUUGGUAUUCACUUUUCAUCAUUGAAAUAUCAUAAUGAUUUUCAAUUUAUGAAUGUUCUUUAAUAUUCCAUUGGUUUGCAAGCGCCAUGACGUACUUUCACCUAUUUCAUCCACUUUAGACUUAGUGUAUAUUAACCUUAUAAUUGUAUAGGGAUUUUCUUUCUUUUCUCCUUCAUAGAUAUCUUUCUAUAAUUAAAAGGUUUAGAGAAUUAUAACAUUUAUAUUAAGUUACCCUACAAUUCUCAAUUAGGAAUUCAUAUGCAAUCUGGAAUAUUACGUCUUGAAUUUCUCAUAUAAGUUCACUAGCGUUAUUGAUAACCCCCACAUUUAGGGUCAUACUCGAACUUCAAGUUCAUCAAUAUGAACUUAGAGUUCAUCAAUAUGUUAACCCCCACAUUUAGGAUUAUACUUGAACUUAGAGUUUAUUAACUCUUUCAUAGUUCAUUCACUUAUCAUUUUGAUAAUACCAGUGAAAGUUUAGGUACUUUCCGAUAGUGGUCGUUAGGUUACAAUUACCUUCAAUCCAACUAUCUUGAUUUUGAUCACACAAUAUGACCAAGGUCAUCUCAUAGACCUACAAUGCUUUUCAAGUAUAAACCAACUCAAUUGGUUCCACAAUUGAAGUCCAAAAUGAAGAAGACCAAGUACUACUUUUCCAAACAUAAGUGAUUUAUCACCUUCAUGACAUUCAUAGAAUAAUAUUUCACCUUAUUCACAUUUGGCCAUUACACAUUUUAUCAUACUCACAUGCAAAUAUAAUUUUGCAUAAAUCAUCUCACUUAAUUUCAUAAAAUUAAUUGAGAUUAUCAUCAUAAAUCAAAAUUAGUAUAAUUUCCAACCAAAUAUGAAAAUUUAACCAACUAAUCUACCAUUCAUUUUCCAUUUUCCAGUAGAAAAAAUGAUCAUGAAAGUUCACAUAUUUCAAAUAGUCAUGGAAAUUCAUACACUUUCAACAUAUAGUUGGCAUUCUUCCAACAAUUAUGCAUCCAAUACACCACAAUGAAAGUGAAGGAAUAGAAACUUAUGUUCCAAACAUUUAUUGUAUAUAUUUGUUCUAUCUAUAUUUGCAAUCUUAUUAUCACAAUAAAAAUUGUCACGAAUUUGGAAAAGACAAUCAGCAGGGAUGCAUUUAAUAGAAAAAACAAAAUUAUUUUUAUGCCAAGCAUUUUCCAGAAUUUCCAUUGCCAAUCAUGCAUGCAAUAGACAUACCAACGAAAGUGUGUGCACUUUCAUUUAGACUAUAAUUAACUUUACUUGUAAAUAUGCAAAUUCUGCCUUGUAUUUUAAUGGGUCACCGUACUUUUAUAUAUAUAAAUCAACUUUCAUGUUUUUGAUUAAUUAUGGGAUAGCCAUCCAUUCAAUAGCAGUACCAUUAUCCGUCAAUUAUUGAGUUAUAUCAAUCCAUAUAAAAUUUAUCUGAUGUUUCCCAACACUUUGCAGUUUCUCCUUUUGACUCGACAAUCAUUCAUAGAUGAGGACAAAUAACCGCAAGCCACAAGACAAAUAAAUUCAUGCUACAUAAUUCCAAAGGGUUACACCUUUUCAGAAAUGAAUAAAUUGUCUUUAAUAAUUUGCAUAUACAUGCAGAGAAUUUAAUUUGGUAAAAAGGUGUAUAGAACAUUCAAGUUGUACAAAACCCAAUCAAAAUUCACAGGUACAAAUCACUUAUUGGAUUAAAAGGUACUAGCAAAGUAAUACAGGUAAAUAACACAAUCGAUUUUACAAUUGAUUUAAAUUGCAAAAAAAAAAAAAAUGAAAAAUCCAUCAUUUAAUUAAUCUACCUUGACGGCCACGUGCAUUUACAUAUAAUACUACAGAAUAUUCAUCAUGAUAUUGGAACUAUUUGACAGGUAAUAUGUUGUAGUCAACAGAUAUCGUUCAUGUAAUAUCAUGAUCUUUAUUGCACACAAAAAUAAGAGAUCUGACGUUAACUGGUUUAUGUCAUAUUUCCAUUCCCGUGAAUGUAUAUGAACACGUGUACUGAUAAUGUGCAAAUAAAAUUCACAAAACGUACAUUUUGUGUUUAUGGAAAUCAAUCAUAAUUUUGACUUACUGAAUUUGGAUUUAAGAGGGCACAAUGAUAACCAUUCAAGAUUUAUUUUCAUGAUAUUCGUCCCGUCAACAAAUCCUAACAAGAUCUUGAAUCAUUAUCUUGAUCGUCGCCAAAGUAGUUUCGUUCUCCAUCGCAAAAGUAUCAUUCGAGAUUGUUGAAAAAUUAUCAACACUGGGGUUUGGAGAAGAAACCAAGAAACGGAAAUUCAAGAAAAUAAAAAUGAGCAAGAAGGUCAAAACCAAUAUAAAGGCUCAAACACGAAAAUAAUCUCCUUGAAUGAUAUUUAUCCACUCUCUAGAUUAUACGAGUUGCUUCAAGGGUUUUUACGACAAACAGUUUGUAGGAUUGAUCAAGUAUUGUUGUAGAAAAAUAUUAAAGCAUAAAUGGUUUUCCACUCGAACUUGAAGAAUGCAAGCGGGAAUUGCUUGAAUAUGGAAGAAAGGAAUAUUGAUCCUUUUUGUGGAAUGAAGUAUACGUUUUCGUAUGUUUCUCAUGUGAUAUUUUAAUGUUAUUGUAUUGGUCCCUUAUUACCUAUUUAUAGAUGUCAAUCAAUACCCAACAAAUUGGUGCCAAAACAUGAUGAAGAGUUGCAAAAAACCCUCCAAAAAUCGCCAAAAAACUAACUAUAAAAGGGCCUCCAAUAGUAACUUUGUGACGUCCAUGCGACUGCAUGGUACAACACCAUGUGGUCGCAUGGUUCAAAGACGACACUGCCCCUGUAUCUCUGUAAUAGGCCAUGCCACCGCAUGCAUGGGUCAAUGCAAUAGCUCCCAAUUGUUUUACUUAUUCUACACUCAGUUCUUAUUGAUGUUGAAUAAUAUACAACAAAUAGCAUAAAAAAAUUGUGUUGAUACUCGUGAUAGUAUUGGAAGACAACCCAACUAUAAAAAGAUUCAAGAAGAGAAUUAUUUUGUUAUUCCCGAAAAAUUCAAAAAUUUGUACAAACUGAUAUUUUAAAAAAAAAUAUUGGGUUAGUUUCCAAGAUUAAAAUAUUAAAUUUUUACAAGUGUAAAUAUGAAUAAAUGUGUUAAUUACUCCUACAAAAGCACAAUUUAUAUGCUAAUAGUCCAUUUUUCUAGAAAAAUAUUUGAUUAUUUUAAAAGAGUGACUUCGUUCACAUUGGUAUUUUUAGAUAAAACAUUAUUCUUAUAAUCUUGAAGAAGCAUAAUUGUACAUAAAUUAGUACUUUAAUAUCUCUAAAGAGUAUGACAGAUUUCUUGUACAAGCACAAUAUAUGUAUCUAAACUUCCUACUGGGAUUUUAAAUAUUCAAUUACGUUAUGUAAGAGUGAAAAAUAGGCAUUUUUAUUCUUUCACUUACUUUUGUUACCUACAGUACGUCAACCAUCUAAUUGAAUUUAUCGCAAUUCACUAAAGGAGAAGAAAAUAAUAAUAGAAAUAAAUAUUAGUACAUCAUUAAGUUGUGUAGAUACUAUUAAAUGCUCUAGAAUAAUCAAUAUUUUGGUAUGUUGACGAAUGAAAUUUAACGUUCAUGAUCAUAUGUAACUUACUCAAAAAAUAUAAUUAUCUCAUACAAUUAUAAAUUAAAAUAUUAUUUCAUACACUCCAAAGAAGGUCCCCGAAAAUUUAAGGUUUUACAUAUUUGUGCAUACCAUAUAGGCAUAUGGUAUGUAUACUAGGUACGCACAAGAUGCAUACCAUGUGCACACUUACCACUAAUUUUCAUUUUUAGCCAAUUUUCUUUAUUAAUUUUUAGGGUAAUUAAAUUUAAAUUAUGGUAAAAUAUUUUUUAGAUUUAUAGUAAUCAAUCACACGAAGAUCAGGUGAGUGGAAUCAAGUUUUAUAAACGAAUUUAACAGAAUGUUUUUCCACUAAAGUUUUUUAUCUUGAUAUUUUCCCUUAAAUCUCUAUCUUGUUACUUUUCCAUGAAUAAGUCUAUUGCAAAUGAAAUUAUAUCUUUCUUUUCGAUAAAUGUCUCACGGUGAAUGAAUAAUGAGCUAUUGGGCAUGCCAACAAAUAAUCACGAUCAUGGUCAUGUAUAAUUCUCAUAUUACAAGUUAUUGAAGUGAUCCGGAUAAAUGAAAGAAAUUCAUGAAUGAUGAACAAUUGUGAUUAUAUGCUCGAAAAUGAAGAAUCAUGAUUUUAUGUUGAAACUGAUAGAAAUGGCGUACUUCAUGGAAAAAAUAUAUCACAUGAACAUACUCUCCACUCAUUAAAUUAUUAUUCACACAUUUCUCUAUAAAACCUUUUAGGAAAAUGGAGCAUCAGUAUUUAACGACAAGCAUUGAAGGUUGAACCAUUCAUCCUGGUCACUUUAAUUUGAGCCUGAUCUAUCCAGUUUGGUGCCAAAUCUUAGAGCUUUGAAAGGGGACUAUUUAUUUUCAAUUUUACUUAGAUUAAUUCCAUUAUUCACUUGAUAGAUUGCUCAUUUUGUAUUUGUUAAUUAUUUAUUAAGUAAAUUUACCUCUACAGUUGUAUUACUUUUUUCUUGACCAAUGUUUUGUCUCAUUGAUUUUUCUUACAAAAGUUAUUGAUGCAACUUUUAUAACGUAUCAAAAGGAAUGAUGUAAUUGUUUUCCCUCAUUAGAUUUUCUUAAGAUUUUAACAAGGCAUAUUAUUUGUGUAGUGAAAGUCCAUAAUUUACAGUAUAUUUAUUAUUUACCCUUAAUGUAACUUGAUGAUUUAUUCUAGUAUAAUAUAUAAAUUGUAUACGAGACUUAAAAAUAGAGAAAUAAUAAAAUAUGUUUUUCAACCAACUAUCUUAAUGACUAAAGUUCAAUAGAAAUCGAUGAAUAUCUUAUAUGAAUUUGAUAUUGUUUGGAGACUAUAGUAAUACAACAUAGAAUAUAAUUCACCGGAGUUUGUUUUAUAAAAUUGUAAAAAUUUUCUCAUCCGCUUCCUAUUUUUAUCAACCACUCCAAUUCAAAUUGUUUUUGGAUUAAAAAACAUCCCUACCAAAAAUUCUCCAAUAUAAUGUAAACUCUAUGUAUUCCAUAAAUGACCAUACAUAGACUUAGGUGACUAUUGUUAUUGAUCGUAUGUGAAGCUUCCAAUGGAGGCCACAUGGAGGCACCACCACGCGCACACAUCAAAGAAGAAUGAAGGAUUUUCUUCUUGGUCGACGCCCCCAUCAAAACUCCACUGUUGAAGCGCUCCCAUCCCUUAAGCCGAACUCCUUCAUGUCCAAGGCUUCCACCUGUCCUCCAGAAACAAAGUGAUUGUACUCUUUAGAACAUGUCUAAGUGUAUCUUUAGGAAUGACUGAUAUGACGUUUCCAUUAAUAGAUGUCAGAUAUGACCACCUAGGAAUGUAGAGCUGCUGACAUCUUUUCAAAUGUAUUUGUCAAUGUAAUUAAUGUGAGAGAAGGUGAUGUGACACUUCGGUCAAUUAGAUUGGACCACGUGGAUCUAAUCCAAUGGUGGCCAGUUCGGCCAAGACAUUAUAAAGCAACUCUUGUAACAUUGUAAGGGAUGGAAAAAUAGAUAUUCAAGCAUACACUAUUAUCAUCUCUCUUUGGAUACUCAUUUAAGUCAUCUUUUCUAUUUUUGAUCGCUCUCAACUGUGAAUACCCCUUUUUUGUCCACGUAUGCAGUCAGUUUCCGAAUAUUCGAUUGGGAAUCCAUAGAAAGUCCAUCAAAAUUCUCUUAUGUGGACUUCAGCGGAAUCUAACACUUGUUGACACGUUUUUUGAGGUCAAUAUAUUGGCACCAUCUAUGGGAAAUGAGACAGUUAACCACAAGAAUCGCACGAAGAAAAGUUAGUGAUCUUUGUGUGAGAAAAGUCCUUGCCUUUCAGAAAAAGAGAGCAUCCUUGAAAAAAGGAUUACUAAAAGGAAAGUUGCGUGAGACACCAUUCUUGCUUCUUAGAGAAAAUGGAGCAUUGCCGACUUGUAAAACAUUUUAAGAGUAACAUAAGCACCAACGACAAAUAAACUGCACCUCGAAGAGCCAGGGAACACCUAAAGAAGGGAGACUGUCGCAUACUACCUCAACUUUUCGCCAUAGAUUCCACCAGCCGAAUAGGCGAGGUGGAACAUGUGGUGGAUCACGAGGUGGAUCUAGAAUAGCUGCCAGUCUCACAAGAAAAGUGGCUACCAAGGUUGAAAAUAUAAAGCCAACAAAAUCUCGUCAUGCAAGAAUUGCUAUAGACUAUACAAAAUCAAGAGGAUAUCCAAUUUUCCCAUAUGCAGCCCAAAAGGAUGUACCUUUUCAAAGAAAUUACUACAACAGUGAGAAAAAAGUCCAUAUCCAAAUGGCAAGGUAUCAGCAGUAUCAUGAGAAAAAAGUCCCUCAAUAAAUGGAAGUGGGGUAAGAUAUAUCCACCAACUAUGCUACGGACCCAACUUAUGAGGUCUCUUUUAAUUUUCAACCAAAUUAUGAUCCAAAGAGCACACCAAGGAAGAGUGUAAACAUUUUCAACAAAUUGAGUCCAGGACAACCUAGAAAUAGGAGGGUUCAGUAGCCUUCUCUGCUUAGGAAUAGGUAGCACGAGAAGACUCAGUUCUAAGUGCAACCUAAAUCGAUUCAUGAAAACAACAACCCUCUACCUAGAAAUAGGCAUGAGCGAAGAGCAGAAGAGGCAAGAAAUCGAGCAGGAUCGUCCCAGCCACCUCAUGAAGCCCACGUUAAGGAAUGAGGAGAUUCUGAAGAAUCGCAGAGGUCCUACGAACUUGAUGAUGAUGACAACACCUGCUAUUCUCCCAAAGAAUUAGGAAUGUGCCUAUUUUGAACCAUUUUAUGCUGCCCAAAAUACCUAAGUAUGAUAGAAGGAAAGAUCUAGCAAAACACCUCAAUAGCUUCUAAACUCACAUGAGUUUAAGAGGUACUACUCCAGCCAUGAAGUGUAGAGCUUUUUACUUGAUUCUGAGUGGAGCAACAGAAGUCUAGUAAAUGAGGCUCCUUAUAGGAAGUAUCUAAAGCGGGCCAAAUUUUAAGAAAGCUUUCCUCAAAUGGUUUGCCACUAGCAAAGAAGGUGAAUGGCCAAUACGACGCCUCAAUGAUAUAAGGCAGCAACCUGGGGAGUCAUUGAAAAAAAAUUUGUCGCAUUUUACAGACGAAAUGAUCUACUGUGUACAAGUCACAAAUAGGAAAGCAUUAACGACCUUAAGGUGAGUAAAUAUAAAUUACCUCUUCUGGAGAGAUAUGGAUAAUAAAGACCUAACCAGUUAUGAAGCCUUGUUGGAAAUGAUAAGGGAAGAAAUCAUUGAUGAAGAAUUGAGGGAUCAUCGGAAUUGUGCUAAUCGAAGCUUACCACCUUCCCAGAUCUUGCUUGAUUGACCCUAGUUGGACAAUUAAAUUCCGUAAAUCUAGGACAAGCAUUAGCUGCAAUUCUAACUUUGGCGUACGAGAAGGAGAACCCCAAUGCACGAAUGUAUCAAGGGAGACCACAUCAACAAUCUCUUGGAAUAGGAAAAGGUCGAGGGUGAGGGUGAGGCGCAAGACCUAGAAAUAGGGAUGAAGCACUCCUUUAUUGUACGAACCAUUGCUCCUAUAGCCAUGGCUCGGCAGGAUGCUGGAUAUUGCAAAACACCCAAGUAAUCAGGGUAGAAAUAAUUGCUUACAUAGAGACGAAACUCCUAGUCAGGGUCAGCAACCUAUGAAUAAUGGUCACCAAAAUAGGGAAAGCUCUCAAUGAGGGCAAGAAAAUGAUGGUGGACGACUUGAAAAAGGUCAAAAACACCAAACGAGACCUCAGCCAACGCGGGACACAAGCUCAUUCGAGAAAUCGAUACCAUAUUUGAAGGCCCAUACGUUAAGAGAGAGCUAAAGUCCUACUAAUGGCGAGCUUCAUAAUUAGCAGUAGCUGACCUCCCAAUGAAAAAAGAGCCCAACCCAUUACGUUUACCUAAGAUUAUGCUAUAGGCGUGCAUUAUCCGCAUUGUGACUCUUUGGUUGUGAGGGCUGUAGUGGCUCGAAAUGGUCUCAAGAGAAUGUUGGUAAAUAUUGAAAGUUCAGUCAACAUCAUAUAUGGAACCAUAUUUGACAAAAUGGAAGUUGACCACAAGGUUGUACGGAUUUACUAGUGACAACAUCAUCCCACGAGGAAAAAUCACUCUAGCAAUAGAGAUGGGAGUUGUACCUCUUAUAGCUCACCACUUCAUGAAGUUCUUGGUGGUAGAAAAUUAUCCUGCCUGUGACAGAGUGUUGGGAAGGCCCGCCUUGAAAGAAUUACAGGCUGUCACUUCCAUUCACCAUUUGUGCAUGAAGUUUCCAAUGAAAAACAACAUUGCCAUGGUUAGGGAUAACCUGCGAGGUACUAGAGAAUGUUAUUUGAACUCCAUUCGAAAAGCUAAACCUAGGAGUGUAAAUGUCAUCUUGAGGGACAUUGAUGAAAUCGACAACCUAGAACAAGGGCAUAACCCUGAGUAAGAGGAUGACAUUGAAAUGGUAUAUGCGUCUAAAGAAGAGGCUAUUUUCUAAGUAUAGACAACCCUUGAAGAAAGGAGAGCUGCUGAAAAAGCCGCUAAUCUUGACGAACUGGACCUCACAUAGUUGAUUACAACCUCAAACUACACUAGUCGAGGAAUUGGAGAGCUUUCGAUGGACCCUCAGGAUCCUCCAAGUUUUUGGAGGUCGGCAAGAACCUGUCAACGAUAGUAAAAGAAAAGUUGAAAAGCUUCUUAUGCAGUAACUUAGAAGUUUUCGAUUGGAAACAUGAGGACAUGAUUGGCAUUGGUCCAAAGGUUAGUUGUCGUCAUUUGAAAAUCGAUCUGAAGACUAAUUCAAUACAGCAGAAAAGGAAAGCCUCAAACUCAAAAAGAUAUGAAACCUUAAAAGAUGAUGUGAAGAAGUUGAUUGCCAACCGCUUUAAUAGGGAAUCAAUUUACCUAAGAUAGGUGUCCAAUCCCGUACUUGUAAAGAAGCAUAGUGGAAAGUAUAUGGUGUGUGUAGAUUUCUCGAACUUAAACGAAGCUUGCCCUAAGGAUAGCCUCUCACUUCCUCGAAUCGACCAACUAGUUGAUUCCACUAUAGGACAUAACCUGCUUAGCUUCAUGGAUGCAUAUUCAAGUUACAACUAGAUCCCAAUGUACCCAGCAGACGAGGAACACAAAUCCUUUAUUAUGGAUUGAAGCUACAGGGUGAUGAUCUUUGGGUUGAAAAAUGUGAGACCACCUAUCAAAGGUUGGUCAAUAAGAUGUUUGCCGACCUCAUUGGAAAGACAAUGGAGGUGUUUGUGGACGAUAUGCCUAUAAAAAGCUUGAAAAUAGAGGACCGCAUCCAUCACCUUAAUAAGGCAUUCCAAAUACUCCGAAGAAUAGAAUGCGUCUAAAUCAUCUCAACUGUGCCUUUGGAGUAGCCUCGGGAAAGUUCCUAGGCUAUAUGGUGAAUCAAAGGGGUAUUGAGGACUAAUUCAGAAAAGAUCAAGGCACUAGUUGAGAUAAGGUUGCCACAAAAACCAAAGAAAGUGUAGAGCCUUACUAGUAUUAUCACAGCUUUGAGCCGCUUCGUCUCAAAGGCAACUGAUAAGUGUCACCCAUUCUUCAAGAUUUUGAAUGUGGAAAUAGAUUUUAGUGGAUGAAAGAAUGUGAGGUAGCCUUACAAGUGCUGAAGAAGAACUUGGGAUAGGAUCCCUUCCUUUCCAAACCCAAAUGUGGAGAGCCCUUACUGUUGUGCUUUGUAAUGGCCGUCAAAGCUGUUAAUUCAUUGCUUAUAAGGGAAGAUGAGGGUCAUCAACUACUUGUAUAUCACAUGAACAAAACACUAGUCACAACAAAGGCUCGCUACCCAACAUGGAGAAGUUAGCUCUAGCUCUUGUAAUUGUCUCCUGUAAGUAGAAACCCUACUUUCAAGCACACACCAUAUAAGUUUUUACAAAUUUUCCUUUGAAGUAGGUGAUGUAAAAGUCUGAGGAAGAUUAAUAAAGUGGGCUGUGAAACUAAGUGAGUUCGACAUCAUCUACAAAACGAGGACUUCCAUUAAAGGGAAAGCCCUUGCAAACAUUCUAGUAGAGUUCAUCCCCGCUCCAAAAAUGGAAGAAGAAAUAAAACCUGCCGAACCCCUCCACUUGGAGUCUUUUUAUUGAUAGCUCCUCGGAAGAUACUAGUUCCGGGGCUGGUAUAGUACUGGUCAGCUUGGAAGGGCACAAGCUCAAUUGCAUUAUGAGGUUUGACUUCAAGGCCACCAACAAUGUGGCUAAAUAUGAAGCUUUCUUGGUUGGCCUCCGGUUGGCCAAAGAAAUUUGGGUGAAAAGGUUACUUAUCAUCAGUGACUCCCUGUUAGUCGUUAGCCAGGUAAAUGGAAAUUUCUCAACUAAGGACAAAAGCAUGGCUGUUUAUUUGAAAUUGGCGAUGGAGUUUGUCCCAACCUUCGAAAGGUUCAAGUCAGCGUAGAUCCUUCAAAGUGAAAAACUAUUAUGCCAAUGCCCUUUCGAAAUUAGCAAGCAAUAGGAACUUCGAAAUACUCGCGGUGGUCUCCAUAAAACACCUUUCGAGGCCUUCGACUUCAAAAGGCAAAGAGGUUAUGUGGAUAGAAGAUACUCCCUUAUGGAUGAAUCCAAUUAUAACUUCCUAAAGGAUCAAACAUUGCCAUCUACAAAGAAAAGGCAUAGAAGCUCAGGAGGCGAGCCAUACACUUCAUCAUCCAAGAUGAUGCACUGUAUAAAGGGAAUUUUCCAUGCUUCUACUUUAGUGCAUAUGUGGCAAAAGGCUACUUAUGUUCUACAAGGGAUACAUGAAGGGGUGUAUGGCAACCAUUCUGGAGAAUGGUCCAAAUCACAAAAGGUGUUAAGGUAAGGAUACUACUGGCCGACCUUGGAAAAGGACACCCAACUGUUCGCAAAAAAGUGCAACAAGUGUCAACGGUUUGCAAUAGUUCAAAGGCAACCCUCACAAGAGCCCAGUGUCAUUUCCAUUCCUUGGUUAUUUGCUAAAUAGGGAAUUGAUCUCAUUGGACCUCUGCUGAAAAGAAGAGGCAGAGCCUAUUUUGUAAUCGUCCCUAUUGAUUACUUCACCAAGUGAAUUGAAGCUGAGCUAUUGACCAAAAUAAUUGAAGCGAACGCUUCCAAAUUUUUGUGGAAAAAAUAUUAUAUGCAGGUUUGGUAUUCCUACUCAAUUGUCUCUGAUAAUGGGCAACAGUUUGACAACAGGAAAGUUAGAGACUUAUGUGAAAAGUUGGGUAUCAAAAAGCAUUUUUGCUCUCCAUACCACCCCGGGCAAAUGGUCAGUUUGAAGUUGUUAAUACGAUUAUCAAGUACACUCCAUAGAGGAAGCUAGAAGCAUCUAAAGGUACUUAGGUUGAUGAGUUACCUCAGGUCCUAUGGACUAUCCGAAGCACUAACAAAACAGCCACAGGCCAAACCCUUUUUUCCAUGACUUAUAGGGUCAAAGAUAUGAGUCCAGUCGAAGUGGGUCUGCCAUCCCUCGUCGUAUACACUUUAAUGAAAUAUCCAAUGAUAAGCUAGACUUCCUUGAAGAAAGGAUUGAUUAGUCUCAGGCAAAGUUGGUGAUUUAUCAGCAAAAGAUGACUAGGUACUACAAUUCCAAGUCAAAAGAAGUCAUUUCGUCUGAAUGAUCUCGUGCUACGGAGAAUUUUCCUAUCUAUUAAGGAACCGAGAGCAGGAACUAUUAGUCCAUACUGGGAAAGUCCUUAUCAUAUUAAUGAAAAUGUUCGACUAGAAACCUACCGAAUCAAAUGAAGGGAUGGAUAAGUACAACCUUAUCCAUGAAAUGUAGAAUAUUUGCGAAAAUAUUAUCAGUGAAAAUAGUAAACACAACUCUUGUAUGGUUUGUGGUUAGAAUAAAAUUUUUUAUCUUAAUUAAACUCUUCAACUUUAAAGUAAUAAGAAAAAAGGUGUCCCUCUUUGGACUGGCUGUUCAAAAGUCUAUAAUACCUCAAUAAUGAGCUAGAUCUUGAAAAGGACCAUCCUAUAAAUCGAGAAGUAGACAAUGCACGACGUAGAUGACUAUGAAACGAAUUUAAUAUGAGCAAACCACUCGACCUCGUGCAAAGUAAAGUAAAUAAAGAGCAGAUGAACUACCACCACUUGAAUAAAUUACUAAACACAAAAAACAAGUUAAGAACGAAAUUGAUGCUCACUUAUGAAAAUACACAAAGUACGUUCAGAGAUAUAAAGGAAAGUGUUCAAAGAUAUAAAGGAAAGUUAACUUUUAUUGAUAAUUAAUGAAUAAUAGAAAUUGGGCUUCUGGGCUGAGUUACAAGGCAGAAUAAAAAAAUUACAUAUUGCCCUAUCUAAACAGGUAGGGGAUGGGGAGGUACAAAGGGUACUAUGGUAUUAAGAACCACGAUCUCUUUAACUUCAGUCUCUUUUUCAUUGGCUUCAUCUUUGAUCUCAAUGACUUAGCUAUCCUCUACCGAAGUUUGAGGCUCUCUCUCCUUCUUCAAGAAUUCAGACUGCAAUUCAGAGGUAUUGAAGGUUUGGAAGUUGGCUUCAAUCCACUCCACUACUUCAGUAUAAGCGUACCUCCGCAGUACUUCGCAAAGCUUUGGUAUGUCUGUCAAGUGGAAAUUGGCUAUGUAGCAUUUUUCAACCCCAGUGCCAACAAACUUAGCCUCCUUUCUCACCUACUCCACUUCUUCUUGUAAGCCCGACACUCUGGAUGUUAACUCCCUCGCCUGCUCUUUUAGAUCAACAUUCUCUAUGUUGCCCAACUCUAGGGCCUCAGCAGCAAGCCGUUGAUGGGCGUCAGAGGCUUUCAUUCACUUCAUCAUGGAAGCUAUUUUACUCUGAGACAAGUGGACCUCCUUUUUUAAAUUUUCAAUUUCUGCCAAUGUAGAAGCGAAUUUCACGAACUCUUCGGCAUGGCUCUUUUUCAGAGCCUCAACCUUAGCCAAUGCAUUCUUAGCUAUCUUCUCAGCCUCAGAGGGUCUAUGUACAAAUCCUUUUUUUUUUAUUUAGAAGGUUUUUAAUAAGGGCCUCCACCUUGAUGGCAAUCCCAAACGUCCUUCCGUUUGGCUCAUCAUCGUUAUGAAAAUAUCCUCGCACUCACUAGACUCUACGAAAGCUUACGAUCCGUCCAGAAUAUAUGAAAGGUGGAGGUGGCGAUCUGAACUUCUGGAGGCAACAUCAACAAUACCUUCGUGGCAACUCAUCAUUCUAUUGCUAGAUGACAAGUUUGAGGUGAGAGGCUGUAUUAGUUGUAGAAGACCUACUGGAUGUCCUUAGCUUCUUUGAGGAUUCUUGCCUCGAAGGCUCCCGCCAAUUGACCUCUUUUGGGCUCCCUUGCUACAAUAAUGGAUGCUGCCAUUAAUUUUUUCCCAACUGGGACUUCGAAACGAGGUGGUGGUAGUUGGGGACCUUCUCCACUUUGUUUUUUACUUGUCCACCAAAGGAGGUCUCCCAGCACCCUCUUAGCCAGCAGCCUCUCUGCUGACCCUUUCAACUUGGUUUCUCACCUGUUUGGCACCAACAGAUGAGAGCUUUAACCCAUUCCUCUCUACUGUGAAGGUAGCUGCAAGAAUGGUAGCCAUGUUGGGGUUAGGGUGCCUCAUCUUCUCGAAAUUAUGUAUAAGGAAGGCCAAAGAACAUACAAAACACAAGGUUAGUAAAGAGAAAAAUAUAGAAAGUAAUCACUACCCAAUAAUUGCAGAAGUAUCUCUUUAGACCAUUAGACUGAAUUCCUUAAAAAAUUGGUGAAAAACGAUCAGUCUCUCAAACUCUCUCGAAGAAGCUGGACAUUGGUAUAUGUCUCUUAUAAGCUCAAGCUCUGACGGGCCAAGCUCAAAAUGAUCGACUGUCCCUACAAAAGAAACACAACAUUAGAAUCCACAUCAACACAAUUCUUUAGUAAAACACGUAAAAGGUACGACAUUCACUAGCUUCUAUAUACGAAGUGGGAACUGUCACUUAAGGACGGAGUCAUCCUCACAUUCUUGCCACUUUUUCCUCACCCAAAACUACGUUUCCUUCCAUCCUUUGAUAAGGAGGAAAUGCCUAUAAUGAAGGGAGAAUGUGAACCCCAGAGAUAUAAGGAAUACCACCCUUUGGAAUCUCUCUUUCCUAAAGACCUAGGCUAUAGGAAGGUUUGGAAGAUAUGGAGGGACAUAUCCUCACCUAAGGAGUCUCUUUUCAAAGGAACUAAGAUCCCACUAGUUGGGCCCACACGUUGGUAACAAACUAGGUAAAGUCGGUCCACAUAGCCUAAGAACGGAUCUAAAGAAGGGAUAUAAAGGCAACCAAAGCCUUGCCUUUAAAAGUAACUUUUUAAUGGCUACGCAACCUGACCUCGGAUAAUAGACACAUUCAUCGGGGGCUAGGAGUUUUAUGUCGUAGGGGAUGCAAUAUUUUUCCCUAAGGUGUACCAGGUGAGAGGCAUCUACGAUGGAUGGGAUUUUCAAAGCUCUCCUAACCUCUUUCCCAGGCCCACCCCUCGUUAAUAGAAGGCAACUUUGCCCAACCCUUACUGCCUCAACGAGGUUGGCAAUGUUUGUAAUUUGGACCUCCAUUUCAGUCACCAAUUCACUAAGAUCUAUUCUCUCUUCAAAAGGUGAAAAAGCCAUUUGAAUCAAAAAGUAGAAAGUUUCAAAUACUUAUGAAAUUUCACAAAAAACACUGGUUGGAAAUGUCUAGAAAUCACGAAAAAGAGAAUUUAUGAUUUGAAAAUAAUGUGAAAAACAGGGAGAAAAUUGUAAGAAUUUGAGUUCAGGUUAAUAACAAAGGCAAAAGUGAUUUUUGCCCUAAAAUGUUGCCUUUUAUAGGUAGAGGCAUUCAAUCCUAGUGGUUGAUGGUGAUCUAGAUCAUCUAGCCAUUAGUUACAAAAUUAAAUCUGAGCCACUAACUGCAUUUGUCAUUUCGCAUUCAAAGGCCCAAAUUAUGGCGUCACAUUUAUGCAUUUGAACGCAUUUAAACAACAUGCCCACGACAGCUAGCAUUGUGCAUUAAAUAUGACAACGAUUGCAUGUGUUGGAACUCGAAUCGUCCUCGUCAGUCGUAUUUUCUGGGACUUGCAGAAACAUCUAAUCAUUUCAACACAGUUAUCAACAAUGCCUUGUUCUUACCAACUCUGAACCAGUAAAACCUCUUCAGCUUCAUCAUCAGUAACCUCGUCCAAAUUGACGAAGCACAACACUUUAUCUUGACCUUUACAACUUCGACAUAAUCAAAUACGUAUAAUUACAACCCCGUAAUAAGUUGCGUCAGCUCUUAUAAGGUUCCUCAAUAAACAACCUUGAUAGGCGCCUCGGCUAUUCGUCAUAUAUAAUUCACAAACUCUAAUUUAUAUAUGAAUAUUCGCAAAUUAGACUUGGGGGACUAUACUGUUAUGGGAUUAAAACACACGUCUACAAAAAUUUUUCCAAUAUAAUGUAAACUCUGUGUAUUGCAUAAAUGACCAUACAUAAACUUUAUGGACUAUUGUUACUGAUCAUAUGUGAAGCUUCCAAUGGAGGCCAAAAGGCACCACGCAAUAUAACAUCAAAGAAGAAUGUAAGGAUUGCCUUCUUAGCCGAGACCCUAUUUCCAUCAAAGCUCCAUUGCCGAAGCGCUCCCAACCCCUAAGCCAAACUCCUUCAUGUCUGAGGCUCUCACAUGUCCUCCAUGACAAAAGUGAUUGUAUUCUUCAGAACAGGUCCGAUGAGUGUAUCUUUAGGAAUGACUGAUGUGACGUUUGCAUUAAUAGAUGUCAAAUAUGUUAGCUUAGGAAUGUAGAGUAGCUGACCCCUUGUCAAAUGUAUUUGUCAAUGUAAUUAAUGUAAGAUAGUGUGAUUUGACACUUUGAUCAAUUAGAUGAGGCCAUGUAGAUCUAAUCUAACGGUGGCCAGUUCAGCUAAUACAUUAUAAAUAGUUGUAACAUUGUAAGGGAUGGAUAAUAGACAUUCAAGCAUAUACUAUUAUCAUCUCUCUUUGAACACUCAUUUAAGUUGUCAUUUCUAUUUUUCGAUUGCUCUCGGCUGUGAAUAUCCCAUUCUUAUAUCCACUAUGCAGUCGGUCUUCAAAUCUCUGAUUGAGAAUUCAUAGAAAAUCCAUCGAAAUUCACUUACGUGGACAUCAGCGGAACACAACUUCCAUUGGCACGUUUUUUGAGAUCAACAGAAAGUAAAAUGGCAACUGCCUUAACUCGUACUUUGCUAUUUGUAUUGGAGGAAUUCCUUCAAACGGUCACCCCUCAAACAUGUUUUUGUGUAAGAAGCCUUUGACCAAUUUGAAGAAAAUAAAAUAAAACUUAAGUAUUUAAAAUGGCAAAAGACUAUUUUUAACUUUCUCAUGUUAAACCAAAUUAAAGAAAGAUAUAUAUCUAGGAACUAGUUCCAUCCCCAAAUUGAACUAUCUUUCCUUUACGUCAAAUUCUCAAAUUCAAAUUCAUCUCUCAUUCAACCUUCUUCUUCUUGCGAGGUUGCGAUGUUGGAGGGUUUUGAAGUGAAUGACAAUAUUGAUAUCUGCUACAGCUAUGAUCGUACUGUUGGUUAAUGAAUUUAAUCAUCACAAUAGGAAAUUAAUUUUCCUUUGAAGAUUAAAAUCAUGUAAAUACGGAUUUAAUUGACCUUGAAAUCAUUGGAUUAUAAAAUCCUUACAUAUAGAAAGGGGAGAUGAUAACCUUUUUGAAGGAGAUAUUAAU
RNAcentral lists this long non-coding RNA (51411 nucleotides) under Olea europaea (common olive). RNAcentral describes it as "long non-coding RNA (OEUR_LNC009099)". The record is from RNAcentral. Lineage: Eukaryota; Viridiplantae; Streptophyta; Magnoliopsida; Lamiales; Oleaceae.